RNAcentral lists this long non-coding RNA (56811 nucleotides) under Triticum aestivum (bread wheat). Its description in RNAcentral is "long non-coding RNA (TAES_LNC028027)". The record is from RNAcentral. Lineage: Eukaryota; Viridiplantae; Streptophyta; Magnoliopsida; Poales; Poaceae.
CUGAUAAUAGGGUCUUGGAUAGCAAAGCAGUCUUUUGGUAUGCCAUCUUGAAUGUUGCAGUUGCGGGAUUGGAGGUUCUGUCUCUCUGUUGAAACUAGCACUGGGAUGUAGGUUUCGUUGGCGUUUUAAACAUCUGAUGAUCACAAACUGCUUGCUCUUUAUGGGAAAUAUCUGAUUCGACUGUGCCAAAUUUUGCUACAACUGCAUGUCACUCUGUUUUGAGACAAUAUGUUCGUUCUAGUUAGCUUUUGAAUUUUAUUCCAGAUUACAGCAACUGUGAGAUUUUGAGAUGAAUUUCCUGUUUGUUUGGCCACAUGGAUCAAAAUAAGUGGGCUCCUUCAUCUUGCGAUAGAGCUGGAGUCUGUCAUUGUUGUGUUGCAGCUUUGCCGGCGAGGAUUUGCUGUCGCUGACAAGAGGAACACCUUCACAAGUCCUGGGAUAUGUUUGGAUCUUGACCAAAGUGUAGCUUAUCAAAGUUCUGUGCUAUGACUAAAACAUGGAUUUAUAAAUGGAUAGUUGCCAAGUUUUUUGUCAUAAUAAUACCUUUUUGUGAACCCUAAUUCGUUUUUCUACCAAUGUUCUAACUUAGUGGGUAACAAAAUUUCUACCAAAUUUCUGGCUAGGUCGUGUUUGGUCUGAUUCGUGCAAAUGCGUUGUUUUUCCUUUUCAGUUUCGACGCUGAGUUGUGAUUGUAUUACUUGAAAGAAUAGAACUGUGCUGGUUGCCUGCCUGCUUUUUGUGCUGUGUGACUUUCUAUGUCUUCUGCUGGUUCGGUUCCGCCCAUUUUUCUUGCCCGUUCCCUCUGUCCAUUCGUCUUGCCUCGUGCGCCCCUCUCUCAAGCCUCGACUACCUUAUGCACCCCCACCAGCUGUUGGCUAGGAGCGGCACUGCGAUUCCAGCGACCAUUGAUGCAUCGUCCUAUGGGUAGGUACACUCCCUGUCCGCAUUCUCCCUCUUUGCUCGCGUAUUGUAAAAAUCUAGGUCUCGAUCCUGAAUGCGCAUAAACCCUAGGUCUUCAUGAGGCGUGGUUGCAGUUGAGAGGGAAGAGAGGCAAAAAAUUGUUUCAUCCUUCAUCCAGUUUGUACAACUUGCAAUUUCUGGUCCACUUUUAGUUUCUGUAUGUGGCUAUCUGGCUAUGGAGUGGUUUUAACUCAUACCGCAAUAUCUUGUGUGAAUACAUUAGUGCUGCCCAUGCCUUUCCUCCUCGCAAAUACUUCGUUACUGCUCUUGGCUAAGAAACAUCUGAUUCUUUGAGAUGAUGUGUUUCCAUAUGCCUCCCAUUCAUAUGUCAUAAAGGAUUGCAUUGGUCCAACACAUUAUUUAUUGUCACUGCACUCUCUUGCUCAGGAGCCUCGACUUUGUUCGUGUUUGUUUGGCUACUAGCACUAUCCCUAUAACAUAGUUAGAGGCUACAAAGGGAAUAUAGAGAGCAGUGCAUCCUUUAUAAGCUUCGAUCAUGCUUACACAGAGGAAGGUUGGUGAGCACAUUAGCUACCCAUCCAUUAAUUUUGUGCCCAAGUCCUAGAGUCUACUUCGUUCCCGAGCCUUAAUUUCAGUGGCAAGUGGAGGCUGGAAAUGACAUGCCAUCCAUCUUUGCAUUGAUAGAAUAGCCUAAUCCAUUCUUUCUUCUUUGUAGCCUCUGUUUUCCUUUGUAAAUCUUAUCCCCAUGUCAAUUAACUCCAAGCCGAAUUCAACAUACCAUCUUGCACAAUAGAAAAUCUUAACAUGAUGGUGCUUGCUAGGUGAAACUUGUAGUUAGCAUUUGUCGUUGGCGGGUUUGGAGCCUUCAGUUCUGUCAUCGUGUUUUUAGCGUCUCCAUUGGUGUGACAUAUUUUAAUAGAAGGAAGCAAAAGGUUUUUACAAGAAGCUCAUCCCCAUUACCGUCAAUAGGCUAGAGCGCACGUGCACACACGCACACAAGCACACACUAGUUACUCUUUAAGAUUUGACUCCCCACCUCCAUGGCCAACUUCUAUCGGUGGAAUCAAUCCAAUAAAUGGUAGAGUGAGGUAACCUCAUUGAUCCGUUGAUGCAUAUUACCAACCACUCAAGCGUUCCUCUAUUUCCAAAGAAUCCAUGCAACCGAGAUCACGAGCAUGUGACAACCUUUUAUGUAAAUAUUGGGCAGCAAGCCUCUCGAUCGAACCCACAAAUCUUCAAGAGUUUUGUCAGUGUUUGGUGCAAUGGUAGAAGGGUAGACUUGUAUCAAGAAUGCUUACCUGAUCCUCAUCUUGAAUUGGAGGUUUUAUUCGUGUUUCAUUUCAAACUAUUGGCAUGUAGGUUUUAUAGGCCUUUUAAUGUCUGAUUAUGUGUUCUAGUGGGAAUGUAAAUUUGCAGUUUCAUAACUUUAUGACUUUUGUUUUGAAAUGCAGGUUGCAUUGCUUCUCCAUGUGUUUGAAAAUGUCAUUUUACCUUUUGGAUUUCUUCCCAACUUCAAGUAUUGUUGUAUGCCGAGACAACUUUUCAGUACCCUCCUCCCUUCAAAACCGUAAAUUUUUCAGAAUACUUGAUGAUCAUAUACUAUAUUUUUCAUUAUGGAAAUUUACAUAGAAUGAUGGGAAAAUUGAGGAUUAUCUCCGAGUAGUCUUUGAAAAGUCAAGGAGCCUUGUAAUCUGCAUCUACGGUGACAAGAUUGUGGGGAGCCGACACCCGCACUCUAUAUCUCUCCGCCGAGUUGGCCCCUCCAUUUCUCUACCCUACUAACCUUAGCAACAUAACUCCUCCAAUGGUCUGUUCCACUCGUCUUAGUAUUGCGCUAAUAUUUCCUAGUGGCUCGGAAAUGCAUGUGUGAUGUUGAGCUGUUUCUACACCCAUGUUGAUUGUUGUAAGUAAUGUUUUCUUGCUAUCCGAAGAGUCUCGACCGCGUUCAACUUAGUUUGGGUGCUAGUACUGUCCUGAUAAGAUAGGCAUGGCACUAUAGAGGUAGUGUAUCCUUUAUAAGGGUGGGUCAUGCUUACAUCUGCAAGGUUGGUGAGCGCGUUAGCUAGCUAUCCAUUCAUUAACCCCAUACAAAAAAAUAUUACUUGGUACAACUAAAAAUUUCAAUAUUAAGGUGCCUCAUAUCAAUGGUUCCGCGUCUAAUGAAAACUCAGAGCUAUCUUUUAAAUGAUAUAGCCAAGUGAGAUAAUAAGUUAGUGAUUGUUGGUGGCCAAUGAGGUUUCCGUGUCACUGGCAGGUGUGGCAGCACCAGUGCUGGGGUGAGUCUAGUCUAGCUGUGGUUCCCCGCUACCUGGGGUACCUGCAUCUUUGUUCCAAUUUUUUGUCUUCAAAUGAAAUGCAUGUCAUUCAUGUCCAAGGUAGUAUGUAAUUCUACAUUUGUGGUUUCUUAGAGUGAUGUUUUGGUCCUUUCUUGGAAUGUUGCUAACAUGGGCAUGCCAACUUGCCAAUCAAGUUCAUUUUUUACAUUACCCCUGAACCAGUGCCUUGUGAGGGGAUGCACCCUGAGAUGAGAGAGAGAACUAAUGUUUGAAAUAGUGUUUCUAUGGCAGCGCCAAAAAAUAGAGCGGGGACUAAGACACUCGCUCUCUAUCCAUUGAUCAGGGCUGAGGAGGUAGAGCGGCAAACAUUGAUCCAUUUUGUACACAAUAAACUUCCUUUGUUUUUCCUUUAAUUCUCGGUCCACCUUUAUCUUGGUGGUAGUUUUGAUCUAAUAUGCACUGCUGGGCCUUAGAGCAUNNNNNNNNNNNNNNNNNNNNNNNNNNNNNNNNNNNNNNNNNNNNNNNNNNNNNNNNNNNNNNNNNNNNNNNNNNNNNNNNNNNNNNNNNNNNNNNNNNNNNNNNNNNNNNNNNNNNNNNNNNNNNNNNNNNNNNNNNNNNNNNNNNNNNNNNNNNNNNNNNNNNNNNNNNNNNNNNNNNNNNNNNNNNNNNNNNNNNNNNNNNNNNNNNNNNNNNNNNNNNNNNNNNNNNNNNNNNGUGCCGGUUCGGCCCUUUUUUCCUCCCGGCGGCCGCAGGCCGAACCCGGCGCGCUGGGGGGCGCCUGGGGGCUCCGGCGCAAGGGAAAAAGCACGGCUGGCCCAAGCCGUUAGGUGAAACAUCAAGAUUUUCUUCCUCGACCGCCUCCCACCCCCCGCUCUCUCGGCCGCAAGUAGGUAUAUCCCAGCGCCGCCCCUCGCCGCCCCAUCGCUCUUCACCUGUAGAUAGCCAUUCCCCGCCGGAAAAGAAGCAUAGUUUCGCCGCGACAACCCCUCCGGCACCAGCUGGGCGUUUCCGGCCGCCCUUUCCGGCCACGGAGGGGCAGUUUGGCGGCGGGUGCACGCCCACCGUGCGCAAGGUGUUCGGCGAUUUUCCUGCCUCGGCGGUGGACUCGGAUGACGAGGAAGUGCUCGCCGCGUUGCUGGAGGAGGAAGCCGAGGCCGACGUCCAGGAACAAGAGCAUCUCAUGGUGCUCGCCGCCCUCACCCAGCUGCUGGCGAGCAAUGAAAAGUCACGGCGAGGUGGCUCGUCGCCGGGCCGGGUGAAAGCAAAGAACCGGGAUCGUCUCGAAGGCUACUGCAUGCUCUACUCCAACUACUUCACCGAUGCUCCACUUCACGGUGACAAAACAUUUCGGCGCCGUUAUCGGAUGAACAGAAAGCUUUUUCUCAGGAUUGUGAAUUCCAUCCGGGAGUUCGACAACUACUUGAAAUGCAAGAUGGAUUGCACUGGCAAACUUGGAUUCACCUCCAUCCAGAAAUGCACGACAGCGAUGAGGAUGCUUGCAUACGGAGCUCCUGGUGACUCACAGGACGACUAUGGGCGCAUGGCCGAGUCCACCAGCACAGAGUGUUUCUACAAGUUCUGUCGGGCAGUGGUGGCAGUGUUUGGACCGCAAUACUUGAGAACACCCAAUGUGGAAGACACUGCUCGGAUCCUAGCACAGAAUGCAGCAAGAGGAUUUCCUGGGAUGCUUGGAAGCAUCAACUGCAUGCAUUGGAAAUGGAAGAAUUGCCCAUUUGCUUGGCAGGGGAUGUACAAAGCCGCCAAAGGCGGUUGUAGUGUGGUACUUGAGGCGGUGGCCACACAGGACCUCUGGAUUUGGCACAACUUCUUUGGUAUGCCAGGAACUCACAAUGACAUCAACGUGCUGCAGUGCUCUCCUGUCUUUGCCAAGCUUGUUGAAGAUCAUUCUCUUCCGGUGAACUUCGAGAUCAAUGGGCGGCACUACAACAAGGGGUACUAUCUAGCUGAUGGCAUCUAUCCGAGAUGGUCGACAUUUGUCAAGACCAUCAAAAACCCUGUGCCUGGAGGCAAGAACGCUUGGUUUGCGAAGAUUCAGGAGGCUUGCAGGAAGGAUGUCGAGCGGGCAUUUGAUGUGCUCCAAUCUCGAUUUGCUGUUGUCCGGUACCCCGCUCAGACCUGGUCGAAAGAUCAAAUGUGGGAGAUCAUGACCUGCUGUGUCAUCUUGCACAACAUGAUCAUUGAGAGCGAGCAGGAGGAGCCAGUGUUUGACACUGAACCAUACCACCGGCAGGGUCCUCUUGACCAAGUUGAUCACCAGUUACCGGCAACCUGGACUGCCUAUCUCAGUAUGCGUCAGGAGAUCCGAGACCCACAUGUGCAUCAUCAACUGCAGCAAGAUCUGAUAGAGCACCUAUGGAGGCUCAAGGGCGACACCGGGCGCGACGUAUGAUGAAAUAUGAGUUUUUAUUUGUUGAACUAUAAAAAUUGUAUUGAACUAUUUGUUAUUGUACUAUUUUGUUGAAGUACUUGAAUUUUCUGUGAUGAAAUAUGUGAUAAAAAAUUAUUUAUGUUGAUAAUUGAAUGCCGAGCCACGGCGAACCACGCCGAAUAUGGGCCUAUUCUCGCUCAUAUGGGUCUUUUUCGCCGAAAUGGGGCUUCAAAAGUGGACCAAAAUCGACGACUAGGGGCGAGCUUGGGGCGACGACUGGGCGCAAAACCGCCCCAGCGCCGAAAAAAUCGCCGGCUCGCCCGAUUUUUAUGCGCCUUGGGGGCCGAACGGCUGAAGAUGCUCUUAGGCUUUCACCCCAAGACCUAAGACCGAGGGUGUGCAUGGGAUGUACUCCACAUCAGCGCCUGAGGUUAAACGACGUCCACGGAUGACAACACUGCCGGCUGGUAAAAACCGAGGCUCGCUCGGAGCACCACCCAACACCAAACCCACACGCACCGCACCUGCGCUAGCCCGCAGACCUCCCAUGACGUCGCCGCGAUGACCACACAUGGAAGCCACCACAAACCUCCAUCAUCCACCACCGCACAUAGACCACCAAGUUGGAGGUGGGCUGCCACCCCAACCUCACACAUCGAAAGGACGCCAAGCCGAAGCCAUCUAGCACGUUGACGCUGCAGCCCCGAGCAAAUGGAUGCCAAAGCAGCCAGCCACCGGAAGCGCCGCCAGGAAAGCCAAAGGAGGCCACCACACUACGCAGCUGAGGGGGCCGAACCUCCCCCACCAGAAGACCAGCAGUCACGCCGCCCACACUUCCACGACUGCCGACCAGAGCUCACACGGGACCGCCAUCCCGCUGCCAAAACCGUCUCGCGGAGGCCCGUGGGACCAGGGCCGGCCAUCGUCGGAGAAGCAGCGCCAGGACGCCGCCGCAUCAGAUCCGACACCCAGGCGUCGAGGGGACGCCGCAUUGCCAAGAUCCGCCGCCCUGAAGCAAAGCAACGUCGCCGAGACUCGGCGGCCCCACAUGGAGGCGCGCCACCACGUGCGGGUCCGCGCGAACCGGGAGCCCUCACAAUAGAAAAUCUUAACAUCAUGGUGUUGCUAAGUCAAACUUGUAGUUAGCAUUUGUCGUAUGAUGGAGGGUCUAGAGUCUUCAGUCAUGUCAUCUUGUUUUUAGCAUCACUAUCGGUGUAACAUAUUUUUAUAGAAGGAAGCAAAAGGUUUUUACAAGAAGCUCAUCCCUAUUACCAUUACUCCACAAAUUACUCUCUAAGAUUUGACUCCCCACCUCCUUGGCUAACUUCUAUCGCUGGAAUCAAUCCAAUAUAUGGGAGAGUGAGGUAACCUCAUUGGCCCGCUGAUGCAUAUUACCAACCACUCAAGCGUCCCCCUGUUUCCAAAGAAUCCAUGCAGCCGAGAUCAUGAGCAUGUCACAACCUUUUCUGCUAAUAUUGGGCAACAAACCUCUGGAUUGAAGCCACCAAUGUUCAAGAGUCUCAGCAGUGUUUGGUGAAAUGGUUGAAGGGAAGACUUGUAUCAAGCAUGCACACCUGAUUUCUCAUCUUGAAUUGGAGUUCUUAUUCGUGUUCACUUUUAACUAUCAUGUAGGUUUUCGAGGUCUUUUAACGUCUAACCUUGUAUUCUAGUGUAAAUGUAAAUACGAUCUUUCGUACCUUCACAUUUUUUUUUGAAAAUGCAUGUCACAUUGCUCCUCCACGUGUUCGAAAAUAUAAUUUUACCUUUUGGAUUUCUUCCCAACUACAACUCUUGUAGUAUGCCGAGACAACUUUUUAGUACCCUACCCCUUCAAAACCAUAAAUUUUGCAGAAUACUUGAUCAUCAUAUACUUAUAUUUUACCUAUUUUUUAUUAUGGAACGAUAGGAAAAUUGAGGAUUUGCUCUGACUAGUUUUUGAAGAGUAAACGAGCUUCCUAAUCCGCAUCUAUGAUGACACGGUUGUGGGGAGAGGAUGCCCGCACUCUCUAUCUCUCUCCCCCAGUCAUACACCCCCUUUCUCUACCCAACUAACCAUAGCAACAUAACUCCUCUAACGGUUUGUUCCACUCGUCUCAGUAUUGGGCUACUAUUACUUAGUGGCUAGGGUGUGAAGUUGAGCUGUUUCUAUACCCAUGUACAUUGUCGUAGGUGAUGUUAUCUUACUCUCUCUCGAGCCUCAACUCCAUUCAAUUUUGUUUGGGUGCUAGUACUAUCCUGAUAAGAUAGGCAGCACACUACAUAGGUAGUGCAUCCUUUAUAAGGGUGGAUCAUGCUUACGUCUGCAAGGUUGGUGAGGGCGUUAGCUAUCCAUCCAUGAUCCAUUAACCCCAUAUGAAAGAAAAAUUAAUAGGUACAAUUGAAAAUCUCAAUGUUAAGGUGCCUCAAGUUGAUGGUUCUGCAUCUAAUGGAAACAGAGGUGUCGGUGUCGGUGUCGCUGGCGGGUGUGACACCAGAGUGUUGGGGUGAGUCUAGUCUAGCUGCGGUUCUGCGCUACUUGGGGUACGCUGCAACUUUGUUCCAAAUUUUGUCUCCAAAUGAAAUGCAUGUCACUCUGUGUUCGACAUAGUAUGUAAUUCUACCUUUUUGGUUUUUUUAGGGUGAUGCUUUUGGUCAUUUCUUGGAGUGUUGCUAGCGUGUUUCUGAUAGCAGGCCCCCAAAAAAUAUAGCGGGGACGUAGAGGAGUAGCUGUGAAGCUGCUUAUAUGCAGCGGCAAUUCAACUUUCAGCUUUUAGUUUCUCGCUCUCAACUGCCUCCCCUGCCGUGCUCGCUCUCUAUCCACCCAUCGAUGCUCAAGAGCAUGGCCACCCCCUUCAGGCUCACGUACAACACAACGUCAGAUGCGGCGGCCUGAAGCAAGGUGAAACUCUCCAUUCAUGAACGUUUUUCUCAGGCUCUAAGCCCUUGGUUGUGACUACGGAUUUGCGUGGACUCGAUGUUAUGUGUGAGAUUAACGCGGUAUGCACUUGAGGUCAAGGCUGAGGAGGUAGAGAGGCAAAGACUGAUCCAUUUUGUACACAAUAAAUUUCCUCUGUUUUUCCUUCAAUUCUCUCUGCACCUUUAUCUUGGUGUUAGUUUUGAUCUGAUAUGCAUUGCUCUAUUCCGCUGGUCCGAUGGUCCCUCUGCAGACACCUCAAAUUUAAGUUGCCUUCCGUCUUAGGAAAUCCAUGGAGUUCAGCUUUUUGUACAGCCACUCCACUUGCCGCGGAUGAGGUGCUUACACAUGCCUCCCAUUCACAACAGAUUGCACUGCUUUAAGCCAUUGUAAUUUUCAUCACUUUCUCUCGCUCUAGAUCCAUGACCCUGUUUAUGUUUGUUUGGCUGCUAUCACAAUCCUACCAACAUACUAGGCAAGGGGGUAGAUGACCAAGGUUACAUACAUAUUUGCUAAGGCGUGUCAUGCUUACACGAGGGAAGGUUGGUGAGCUUACACUACAGGAAUCAACUACUUUGCCAUCAGCCACGGCGGACGACAAAGGCAUGGAUGGCGGACGGCAAAGACCUUUGCCGUCAGCCGCGGACGGCAAAAGGUGACGGCAAAGUAUGGGACGGCUAAGAGCUGCGUUGCCGCCUACUUCGGCCAGCUGACGACAAAGGGGCCUUUGCCAUCAGCAGCGGACGGCAAAGAAGACGGAUGGCAAUAAAUGUGCUAUUACUCCGUUAGGUGGUUAACGGCAGGCCUUUGCCGUCCGCUGCGGACGGCAAAGCCUUUGCUGUCAGCCACUGUUGGCAAACUCACCAAAUUGCUCAGCCUCCCAGGAAGCACAGUUGCCUGCCACGUGGCAUCUUUGCCGUCCGCUGCUGAUGGCAAAGAUCUCUUUGCUGUCGAUGGCAGACGACAAAGAUCCUGCAUAUUGUCUCCUUUUUUCUGUUUUUUUACUCCAACAAUUUUCACAGCAAAUAUAUAUCACAUAUCCAGCACAUAAGUUUCAUAUCGCAUAUCCAGCACAUAAGUUUCAUAUCACAUAUCACAUCAGUUUCAUGCAUACACAUUGUUCAUACAUAAGCAAGUGCCAUCCAUACACAUUAUUCAUACAUAAGCAAGUUCCAUGAUAGCAAGCUAGAUACAAUGCAAAGUUUCAUGAAAGGAAAAGCAAGCACUCCAUCAUAGCAAGCUAGCUUCCAUGAAGUGAAUGAAAUCUGCAAAAUGGUAAAUAAGAAAGUUAGAAAUAGGUGACUAGAACAAAAAGAAGACUAGAACAAGAAGUAUAUGUCAUUUAUGAGCUAACUUAGGUGAAAUGGAUCAUAUAUGAGCUAACAAAGUUGAAAUGGAUCAUUUAUGAGCUAACUUUGUUGAAAUGGGUCGUUUAUGAGCUAACUGAGGUGAAGGGCAUCGUUUUUGAGCUAAGUAAGGUGAAAUGGAUCAUUUUUUAGCUAACUUAGGUGAAAUGGAUCAUUUAUGAGCUUUUAUGAGAUAACUUAGUUGAAAUGGGUCGUUUAUGACCUAACUUAGGUGAAAUGGAUCAUUUAAGAGCUAAUUUAGGUGAAAUGGAUCGUUUUUAGCUAAUUUAGGUGAAAUUGAUGGUUUAGGAGCAAAUCUAGGUGAAAUGGGUCAUUUUGGAGCUAACCUACAUGAAAUGGGUCAUUUUGGAGCUAACCUACGUGAAAUGGGUCAUUUUGGAGCUAACCUAGGUGAAAUGGGUCAUUUUGGAGCUAACCUAGGUGAAAUUGGUCAUUUUAAAGCUAACGUAGGUAAAAUGGAUCAUUUACGAGCUAAUCUACUAAAAUCAGUCAUUUUAGAGCUAACUUGGAUAAAUUGGAUCACUUGUAAGCUAACUAAGGUAAAAUGAGUCAUAUUAGAGCUAACUUAGGUAAAAUGGAUCGUUUAUGAGCUAACUAAGCUAAUUAUGCAAUUUUUGACAUAAGUAACCUAAGUACAUAUCGUUUUAGAGCUAACUUACGUAGAAUGGAUGGUUUAUGAGGUCAGUAAGCAUAUUAAGUCAUUUUGAAGGAAAAGAAGCUAACUCUAGGUCAUUAUGGUAAGCAUAUUGGAGGAAAUAAAGCUAAGUCUAGGUCUUUAUGCAUUUGUUAAGCAAAACACUAGAGAAACUUACCGUGAUCAGGGAGGUGUAGGAGCGGGCUAGCUCGUGCCGGUAGCUGGAGAAGGAUCGUGCGAUGCGUUUCUGGAGUUAAGCUGCACCAAAGAUCAUUUCCAAUGUCUCGUUAGCAUGAUGACACUCAAAUGUUAAGACUAGCAAGUAACGUCCAUUCAAAUUAAACUCACCGUGGUCUCAGGAGCAAUCUCUGGAUCAAUGGCUAUGGAGCCACAGGACCUCCCGCCACUAGAUAUCAUCACCUGCUCUAGAUUGUAGGGGAUCUGUCUCGGGUUAAACUCCUCCCCUUUCCUCGCCUUCCCCUUGACUUGCUUGUAAGACGCAGUGUGGGCCAUGGCAUACAGGUCGUACCCCUCUGACACCUUAUCCGUCUUAUUGUAGCAUGCCUGAAAGAGAGAAACAAAGUAAAUUAGUAAUUAAAGGGCUCAAGCUAGCAUGAUGAAUGAAUUGCAUUAAUCAUGAAGCAAACCACAUUACCCAAUUCCGUCCGAACUGAUAUAAGCUGGAGCUACCUUGAUGGUGUGUCACACCUUCAAUUUGGGCACGUUUGUCCUUGGCCUCAGUCAGUUCCCCUUCCAUCUUUCAACACCUGCCAUGACAAAGAGUAAACGAAAUUAGUACAACAUAAAAAAAUACCGACAUGAAUAAUAAUAUGUAUAUCACUUAAGUGUAUCAUCAUCAAGUACAACAUAAAAAAAUUGAAUACCUGACACUACUAAUAAUCUCGAUCAGUAUCAUCAAUAAAUGCAUAAUCAUCAUCAUCACUAUAAUCAAUGACGGGCUCAUAGGGUUCAGUGGCAUCAACAUGUGGAAGACCACCUUUACGUAAUCGGUCAAGCAUUGAGAGGUCGUCCGCAGCAGUAACCUCUUCUUGUUCCGGCUCUUCUUGUUCCUCCUCUGGGGUGAUGUGGGAUUCACUGUCGCUGUCUACUUCAAUGUUUUGGGGUGAAGUAUACCGGUUCUUGAAACGCUUUUUGGAAAGACGUGUCUCUUGGAAGAAUUCUCCUUCAUAUGUGUCUGGGUUAAUGUGAGGUUCAUAAUCCUCUUCCUUUGGGGGAGAUAGUCUAGCACGUGGCGGCACUUCAUAAACGACAUCCCAACCUUUCAGAUUUGGAUUAGUUUGGCAGGCCCAAGGUAGAUAGAAUACUUGGGUCGCCUGUUGAGCCAUAAUAUAGACAUCAGGAACAUCUAAAUGGGUGCUUUGGUUGAUUUCAACUAGCCCUAUAUGUUCAUGAGUCCUUCUAGUCUCCUUCGGCUGAAACCAAUAACAUUGAAGACUAUGACAUUCGGUGGGUUUUCACCAUAGAAUAGAAGUUCAUAAAUUGCUUCAACUCUCCCAUAAUACUCGGUACCUCCUUCGCCGAUAGCAGAUACACAACAAUUUGUAGACUUUCGGUCGGCCAUAGAUAGCUCUUUGACGUAGGUACGAAAACGAUACCCGUUGAUGUCGUAUUUGUCAAAUGAACGGACCUUAUAGUCAAAACCAUUAGCGACUUGUCUCAAUUCGGCGUCCAUAGACUCUGAAUUAGCCUACAAGUUUAAUAUGAAAGGAUUGUUGCAUUACACACAAAUUAGCGAAUGAAAUGAAAUUGUCUAAUAGAAUUUACCGUUUGUUUGAACCAAGAGAUGAAACCGGGAUAGCCGCCUCCUUGCUUUGCGAGAAGCUCAUACUCUUCGACGGAAUCCUUUUGGAUCACCGCUCCAUACGAGAAUAGGGCGGCGUAUCGACUGUAUGAAAUAUCCAGGAAUAAGAGUAGUUCAAAGGAAAUAGAAGUUGCUAAACAAUGUACCGAGAACUUACUCGAUGUACGGCCGCACUUCUAUCAGGUUGUUGAAGAUAUACAACGAAAUGGUCCGCCAUUCUUCGUUAUCCAAAGAUACUGGAUUUGAAACACUGGCUGGUGCGAGAUUGCCUUUGAAUAGGCUGAGGUUGGAUCCACCCUUUUUAGGCUCGUCAGCAUUGUACCGAGGCUUCGGAUUAUGCAAAUGACGAUUUUUGGUUUCGUAGUGUGCUGUCACGAAGUUUGCCGCCUCUUCAGUGAUGAAUGCCUCAGCCAUAGACGCUUCAAUUCUACGUUUAUUUUUACAUUUUUCUCGAAGCGUCUUCUGCAUCCUCUCAGUUGGGUAGCACCAACGAUUUUGCACGGGCCCCCCCAAUCUUGCCUCGGUCGGGAGAUGCAAAAUCAAAUGCUGCAUUUUAUUAAAGAAGCCCGGUGGAAAGAUCUUCUCUAACUUGCAGAUCAACUCUGGCGCCAACUCUUCCAUUUCUUCUAGCACGCCAGGCGAUAGUUUUUCGCACAAAGAACACGGAAGAAAUAGCUGAGUUCUGCCAGUACUAGCCAUUCAUCCUCAGGGAUGAAGCCACGCAACAUCACCGGCAUUACCCGCUCAAUCCAUAUGUGCCAAUCAUGACUCUUGAGACCAAAUAUCUUCAAUUUAUCAAGACUCGCUCCCCUCUUUAGAUUCGCCGCAUACCCAUCGGGGAACAUCAACUGCAUUUUCACCCACAAGAUAAUUUCCCUCAUAGUUGGCCUUCCAAGAUUGAACCAUGCCUUUGGCUUCGUCCAGUUCUGCUUUUCUUUCGGUUCUUUCAUGUUUUGUAAUAGCCUAUCACAUAGCGCCUCCAGAUCGACUCUAGCCUUAGUAUUAUCCUUUGACUUCCCAUCUAUGCCGAACAAUGUACCAAAAAGUGCCUCGGCAAUAUUCUUCUCAGUGUGCAUCAUGUCGAUGUUGUGUGGGCAAAGGAAGUCUUUGAAGUAAGGCAGAUCCCAUAAGCAUGUUUUGUGAGUCCAGGCGUGCUCAGAAUUAUACCCCUUGAAGUACCCUAGACGCUCUGGAUCUGGCUCGAGAGCAUUUAACUGAUCCAGGGUCUGUUGGCUUGUCAACGCAGGUGGUGCAGAGUUUUUUACAACUCUACCUCUGAUGAAGUUCUUCUUGUCUUUCCUGAACUUAUGGCGAGGAUCCAGGAACUGUCUAUGCAUGUCGAAGCAAGAAAACUUGCGAUCGGCCUGAAGCCAACGAAACUCAAGAGCUCCCUUGCAUGUGGGGCACGAGAACCUUCCAUGCACACACCAGCCAACGAAUAGCGCAUACGCCGGCAAGUCAUGCAUCGAGUACAUGUACCAUACACGCAUUAUGAAGUUUCGUUUGCUAUAGGUGUCGUAUGUCUUGAACCCAUUAUCCCAGGCUUCUUGCAAUUCGUCCUUAAGCGGCUGCAUAUACACAUUCAUAUUUUUCUCCAGAUAGUUGGGCCCUGGAAUUAUCAACGUCAGCAAAAUGUUCUUUCUUUGCAUAGUCUGUCCGGGCGUGGGGGGGNNNNNNNNNNNNNNNNNNNNNNNNNNNNNNNNNNNNNNNNNNNNNNNNNNNNNNNNNNNNNNNNNNNNNNNNNNNNNNNNNNNNNNNNNNNNNNNNNNNNNNNNNNNNNNNNNNNNNNNNNNNNNNNNNNGGGGGGGGGGGAGAUUGAGUGGAAAGACAAAUACGGGCCAACAACUGUAUUGGGCUGCCGUCAUACCAAACACACUGAACCCAUCGAUGCUGAUGCCGACUCGAGGAUGCCUCGGAUCUGCCCCUUUGUCAGCAUGUAAUUCAUCAAACUUUUUCCACACAACACCAUCCGAUGUGUGUACCAUCAUCAGAUUCCCAUCUGCAUCUAGUUCGGUUCUUUUGCCUAUUUUGUGCCAUGUCAUCUGUCUGGCCGUCUCUUCGACCAUGAAAAGACGUUGAAGUCUUGGUACGAUUGACAUAUACCAAAGAACACUAACAGGGAUUUUGGUCUGUGUCUUCUCACCCAUACCAUUGUCUACCAUAAUAUACCUGGAACACUUGCAAAUGGGACAAUAGUUCAAGUCCGCAUAGUCAAGCCUAAAUAAGGCACAUCCUUUCUCACAGGCAUGUAUCUUCUCAUAGGGCAUCUUCAGUGCACGGAGGAUUUUGUCCGACUGGUACAGGUUUGCAGGCAUUACAUGGCCUUUGGGUAGAAAGCGUCCAAAUACUGUCAUAAUUGCGUUAUAGCAUUCUUUUCCCAAGUUGAACUGAGCCUUCAAAGCCAUUACUUGUGAGAUGGCAUCCAACUGACAAAGCUCAGUGUGCUCGUGGAGCGAACGUUUUGAAGACUCCAACAUUUCAUUGAAGGCCUUUGCAGAUUCCUCCAUCUCCUCGUCCGAAUCCCGAGCAUCAUCAUAGUCUUGCACCAUGUUUUCCAUCCCGGUACCAUGCUCGUCGGUGCGACGAUGAUCCACCUCAGCUCGGUCACGUUGGGCAGACUCACCAUGAAAUGUCCACAUCGUAUAAUCAGGCGUAAAACCAUUUUUCUGCAGGUGUUUACCCAUUUCAGCCUCUGUCCUCUUUUCCCAAUUGCCGCAUCGGAAACAGGGGCACCAAGUUUUCCUCUGGCCAUUUGCAAAUGCGGCUUGCACAAACCCCUUGGUUUUUGUGAACCAUUCAGCGCUCCAUUUGUUCUGACCAGUGUGACCGGUAUACAUCCACGCACGAUCACUCAUCUUGACUUUCAGAGCUACUGGACACACAACAAUUAUAUAUAUAAUUCACCAUGUAUAUAUUCAUCAGUUGAUCUACUUUGUCAAUUUUAUUACGUCCAUGCAACCUACACUCUAAUAGGUAAUGAUAGGUCCUAAUCCCACCCGAGUAUGUGUAGAUUGGGUUCAUUUUCCCAAGCUAUGCUCCGGAUCCGACGCAAAAUUUUGGCAGCACCUCGACGCUGUUCUCCUGAUACACGUCUCUGCAAUAAACAGAGAGGUGUGUACCCGGAGAACAACAGGGGAGGCACUGACAAAAUUUAUGCGUCGGAUCCGGAGCAAAGCAUAUGGGAAAACGAACCCAAUCUACACAUACUCGGGCUGUCUAUGGAUAGCGUUGGACAAUUCGAAAGAAUCAAGGUUAUAAAUAUGCAAAUGCAUGCAUAUUUAUAACUAUGACGCUUUCGAACGGGAGACACAUAUUGGUUACGCAUACUGAUGAUUCAAGACACAUAUAUAGCUAGCUAUCAAAUUUCAUGUCAUUUGUGCAAAUAAUUAAUGGGGGAGAAGGACAUGUCAUUUGUGCUCACCCACGAACGAAGGGGCAGAGCUCGUCAAACGCACGGCGAGGUCGUUGAACACCAAACCUCGCAGCGAUGAAACAACUGCACAUUUAAAUCUACCCGAUCAACACAAUUAUAUAUGAUGUUUUUCAUAAAAAAUCGAAAAAUAUAUGACCUAACUAAUAAUUCACAAAUAUAUGACCCCGUCGGCCUCUGGAAGGCCAAAGAGCCCCUUUUCGGGAGGUUUCGGGGGUCGGGGUGUCAUGUCGGUGUCGGGGUGCUGUNNNNNNNNNNNNNNNNNNNNNNNNNNNNNNNNNNNNNNNNNNNNNNNNNNNNNNNNNNNNNNNNNNNNNNNNNNNNNNNNNNNNNNNNNNNNNNNNNNNNNNNNNNNNNNNNNNNNNNNNNNNNNNNNNNNNNNNNNNNNNNNNNNNNNNNNNNNNNNNNNNNNNNNNNNNNNNNNNNNNNNNNNNNNNNNNNNNNNNNNNNNNNNNNNNNNNNNNNNNNNNNNNNNNNNNNNNNNNNNNNNNNNNNNNNNNNNNNNNNNNNNNNNNNNNNNNNNNNNNNNNNNNNNNNNNNNNNNNNNNNNNNNNNNNNNNNNNNNNNNNNNNNNNNNNNNNNNNNNNNNNNNNNNNNNNNNNNNNNNNNNNNNNNNNNNNNNNNNNNNNNNNNNNNNNNNNNNNNNNNNNNNNNNNNNNNNNNNNNNNNNNNNNNNNNNNNNNNNNNNNNNNNNNNNNNNNNNNNNNNNNNNNNNNNNNNNNNNNNNNNNNNNNNNNNNNNNNNNNNNNNNNNNNNNNNNNNNNNNNNNNNNNNNNNNNNNNNNNNNNNNNNNNNNNNNNNNNNNNNNNNNNNNNNNNNNNNNNNNNNNNNNNNNNNNNNNNNNNNNNNNNNNNNNNNNNNNNNNNNNNNNNNNNNNNNNNNNNNNNNNNNNNNNNNNNNNNNNNNNNNNNNNNNNNNNNNNNNNNNNNNNNNNNNNNNNNNNNNNNNNNNNNNNNNNNNNNNNNNNNNNNNNNNNNNNNNNNNNNNNNNNNNNNNNNNNNNNNNNNNNNNNNNNNNNNNNNNNNNNNNNNNNNNNNNNNNNNNNNNNNNNNNNNNNNNNNNNNNNNNNNNNNNNNNNNNNNNNNNNNNNNNNNNNNNNNNNNNNNNNNNNNNNNNNNNNNNNNNNNNNNNNNNNNNNNNNNNNNNNNNNNNNNNNNNNNNNNNNNNNNNNNNNNNNNNNNNNNNNNNNNNNNNNNNNNNNNNNNNNNNNNNNNNNNNNNNNNNNNNNNNNNNNNNNNNNNNNNNNNNNNNNNNNNNNNNNNNNNNNNNNNNNNNNNNNNNNNNNNNNNNNNNNNNNNNNNNNNNNNNNNNNNNNNNNNNNNNNNNNNNNNNNNNNNNNNNNNNNNNNNNNNNNNNNNNNNNNNNNNNNNNNNNNNNNNNNNNNNNNNNNNNNNNNNNNNNNNNNNNNNNNNNNNNNNNNNNNNNNNNNNNNNNNNNNNNNNNNNNNNNNNNNNNNNNNNNNNNNNNNNNNNNNNNNNNNNNNNNNNNNNNNNNNNNNNNNNNNNNNNNNNNNNNNNNNNNNNNNNNNNNNNNNNNNNNNNNNNNNNNNNNNNNNNNNNNNNNNNNNNNNNNNNNNNNNNNNNNNNNNNNNNNNNNNNNNNNNNNNNNNNNNNNNNNNNNNNNNNNNNNNNNNNNNNNNNNNNNNNNNNNNNNNNNNNNNNNNNNNNNNNNNNNNNNNNNNNNNNNNNNNNNNNNNNNNNNNNNNNNNNNNNNNNNNNNNNNNNNNNNNNNNNNNNNNNNNNNNNNNNNNNNNNNNNNNNNNNNNNNNNNNNNNNCUAGGGCGGGCCGUCGGGGAGGAGAGAGGAAGAGAAGGAGAGUAACGGCCGGGGGCCGGGGGGUGUGGCGUUCGUUAGUUACUCGGCUCUUUGCCGUCCGCCACUCUUUGCCGUCCGCCGGUAUCUCUCUUUGCCGUCUGCUAGCAGACAUCAAAGACGUGGGGGUGUUAAGUUUUUUUAAACGGGCGGGUGGGUGGGGGCCACCUCCCUCUUUGCUGUCAGCUGGCUGACGGCAAAGAAUUUUUGCCGUCAGCUGGCGGACGGCAACGAAAUGGCUCAUGGCAAAGAGCUUCUUUGCCGUCCGCCGUUUCUUUGCCGUCGACUUUUCGGUAGCUGAUGGCAAAGAGCUUCUUUGUCGUCCGCUAGCCGACGGCAAAGAUCAGGCAGAUGGCAAAGUAGCUGAUUCCAGUAGUGUUAUUAGUUGAUGUAGAAGAUUAUAUGAUGCAACUCAUUGGUGAGCUUAUUAGUUGGCGAGCUUAUUACAGGUGAUGUCUUGCUUGACAAGCCAACUAACCAUACAAUAUCUCUAGUAGUUAAUCUAUACAAGGCUAGAGAUCAUUGGAAGAUCAAUCAGAGAUAAGUACAGAUAUAUCACGUUCAACACCCCCCGCAGUCGAAGCGUCGGCGUCAGUGAUGCAAAGACUAGAAUGAAAUCCUGGAAUGCAGCAGUUGGCAACCCCUUGGUCAUAAUGUUGGCAAACUGUUGGGUAGUCGGUACGUGAAGGACACGGAGUUGACCCAACUGAACUUUCUCGCGCACAAAGUAAAUAUCCAGUACAAUGUGUUUGGUGUGCUUGUGUUGCACCUGAUUGGCCGCAAGGUAGGUGGCCGACACAUUAUCACAAAAGAUCACUUUAGCCUUCGGAAGUAAAACCAGAAGUUCACCAAGCAGGUGACACAACCAACAAGUAUCGGCAACGACGUUGGCAACAACAUGGUACUCAACCUCGACAUUCGAGCGGGAGACGGUAGGCUGCCUCUUAGAGGACCACAAGACAAGGGAGUCACCGAAGAAGACAUGGUUUUCAAACGUGGAUCGCUGGGUGUCAGGACAACCAGCACAAUUCGCAUCCGUGUAAGCAAGAAGCUCGGUGGAGGCGAAGGCGCGGAGAUGAAGAGCAUAGAUUGGCGUGCCAGGAAUGUACCAUAGAAUGCGCUUGACCAGAGACCAGUGAGCAUCACGCGGCGAGUGCAUGCGCAAUCAAACUUGCUGCACCGCAAACUGAAUGUCUGGUCUGGUGAGCGUGAGGUACUGAAGUGCAUCAACAAUACUGCGGUAGAGAGCGGCAUCGGUGGCAGGCUGUCCAGCUGUGGCAGAGAGCUUCGGCUUGACCUCAGCAGGCGUGGUGGCCGGCUUGCAAUCGAUCAUGCCAGCACGGUCCAACAGGUCAAGAGCAUAUUGCCCUUGAUGGAGGAAAAACCAGAGGCAUCGCGUCGCACAUUAUGUCGACAAAAAAAAUCCUAAAUUCUAAUAAAUAUUUAUACAAUGUAAAACAUCUAUUUGCUUAAUUCAACAAUACUUGAAUGUGAAUUUUUUAAAAGUUCAUGAUUUUGAUAAAACAUUCAGGAAUUUGAGAAAAGUUGAUGGAUUAAAAAAAUUCUUGAAUUCAAAAAAUGUUCUUGAAGUUGGUAAAAGUUCACCAAUUUAGAAAGAAAAGAAAAGAAAAGAAGGAAAAUGAAAAUACCUACCAAAAAAUUGGUAAUAAACAAACCCGAAAACCAGCCCAGAAACCAAAAGAUCCCCAAAACGGAUAGUGGGAUCGUGUUAUGGGCUGGCCCAUUUAGCUACCAAUGAAACGCAGGUGGGUGCCAUUUAGGAGAAUACACUAUAACUAGCACAGUGGGCGCCAAUUGGCGAAAUCACUAGUUAAAAAGUAUCCCUUGCAAAGGUCACUCCCAUCUUUUCGGGUUGCGAGAAGUGGUGCACUGCAGGUGCGCCAUUUGUCACAAACCGGGUGUUCCCUUUUUUUAGAUUCAUUUAUUCAAAAUGUUCUAUCUUUUAAACCAUGCGUCUAAAUCCUGAACAGUUUUCGCCCUUGGAUUUCUGGUGUCCAAAUCUCGAAACUAGAUCAUAUGUUAAUAGGUUUUAAUGAACUUUUUUUUCACAAAAAAACCCGGGAAAACUGGAAAAAUAAGCCCGAGCCGGAAGAAUUGUUUCCCCCCACUUUUUUCCCUUUUCGAAGAGGCACAAUUGUGCCUCUAGCGGAAGCACACUUGUUCCCCUGCAGUAGAAAAGAGAAAGAGAAAACACGACCUUUUCUUUUUUGAGUCUUCUGCGAGAAGCAAACCUCUGCCUCCGCGAGAAGCAAAUCCGUGCCUCUCACGGAAGCACAAAAAAAAGAAAGUAAUUUUUUUUUCUGACAGGCACUCACGGAAGCAAAUUAUGUGCCUCCACGAGAAGCAAAUAUGUGCCCCCCCCCCCCGCGGAAGAAACGAAAAAAAAUACGUUUUCCCUCUUUUUCGAGAGGAAAACCUAUGCCUCUUGCCAAAAUAAAUCUGUGCAUCCACGAGAAACAAAUAUGUGUCUCUCACAAAAAACACGUUUUUAGUGCAAUGCAAUUUCUAGAUCGUCAAGAUAUGCCUAGGGAACUGGACUGGACAUUUCCAAACCAGUUCGAACCAACAGAGUUUACGCCCGCUAACCCUAAAAAACAGAGUUUAGGCCCUGGCCUCAACAACACGGUUUAGGGCCAGUCGACACUCACCCGACCACCACACAAGUCAAGCGGGCCUCUGCCCUUCCUCCUCCCGUCGCAGUAUUUCUUGGCCCACUCCUCUCCCUUUCCCAACCCCCUCCUAGCUAGGGUUUUACUUUUCCCUCCGCUAAGGUUUUACCCACGAGCGACCCACCAUGAUGGUCGCCGAGCUGCAGGCGGAGCUGCUCCGCGACUAGCUUGAGGAGCACAAGAUCGAGGUGAUCCUCCAUUCCACCCCUAGUCGCCAUCAUUUCCCAUCUCAUCUUCAUAGCCACCACCAUCAUCACCGUAGCCAUCCAUCUCCAAGUUAGUCAUACUUGUAACCGGCAUAUCGCAACCGGCAACUAUUGUAAGACAUAUUAUCUGUCAAUAAUUCAUCUUUAUGUCAUCUUCAAUAACUUCAUCUUGCGAUCCGAUCGCCAUGUGUGAGGAAUUCAGUAAGGCAAUGGGUUUAGGCACGGCCUUGCAACCCGAUGUAUUUGUGCCAAGGAUCAUGGGAAUGACUUCAUAUGAUUGACGUUAUUUGUAUGUGUCCGAUUGCAAUGGAACCGUCUCUUGUCUUAUUCUCGUUCUAAGGCCCCACAGGUACCCAAGAUCCUGUAGAUCAAUCAAGGAGAAGGUAAAGAGCAAGGAGUACGCGGAACACUAUCCUGAAUAGAAGUGAGAAAAGGGGUUAGUACGUUAGAGGAAAUCUAUUCCUUGGGGAUGAAUGAGGUGUAGCCGUUAAACUCCCAAUGCUUUUAUCUGAAUGUUUAUUCCUAACGCAGCAAUAAGGGCCAUCGGUUGGACAACUGACUCUUGAUGCAUGCCGCACAUUGUUCANNNNNNNNNNNNNNNNNNNNNNNNNNNNNNNNNNNNNNNNNNNNNNNNNNNNNNNNNNNNNNNNNNNNNNNNNNNNNNNNNNNNNNNNNNNNNNNNNNNNNNNNNNNNNNNNNNNNNNNNNNNNNNNNNNNNNNNNNNNNNNNNNNNNNNNNNNNNNNNNNNNNNNNNNNNNNNNNNNNNNNNNNNNNNNNNNNNNNNNNNNNNNNCACGGUUUAAUAUAAUUAAGAUCCCGAGCACAAAUAUAAGGUUGUGAGAGUAAGACCUCAUACCCAUGCCAUUUUAAUACUAGUGUUUACAUCUAAAAGGUUUUAGAGGUCCGAUUGAUAAACUGGAAUUUCAUUUGUUAGCAAUAACUUAUCAGAGUCUUUGACAUAGUGCACACCGUCUCGUGGGUUUGAUAACCCAGGGUUACUGCUUAGGGAAAAAGUACGGGAACCUUCUGCAAUCCAUACUCGAUCUCAAAGGGCAUCAUGCAGUGCAGGGAGGCGCUUCCUACAUGCGGAAACUACACGAGUGACUCUGCCAGACUUUGCUUGUUCGAUUCUGGCACCCUCACAUCUCCCUCUUGAUGCCUGUUUGUCUCGCCUCCAGUGGCUCGGCGAGCUAGGCACCGUGACCCCUCGUGACCAGUGAUGCGGAGGCCUUCGGUGAUGUAUAAUCCCCAAGUCUCCGGUCUCUCCCUUGGCCCUUUCGCUUGUGUAAUAUGAAAUCUAGGUCCUACCCUAGGUCCUCGUGAGGUGAGUGGGUUAUAGUUGAGCCAGUUGAGGAGGAAAAGAGGCAAAAUUGAUCUAGUUUUUACACAAUGAAAUUCCUCUUCGUACACCCUUUUCAGUUACUAUGUGGUCUACAGUGGUGUAGUUUCGCCAGAUAUGUACUGAUAUCUUAUCUCCUCAGCGAGUACAUUACUAUUGUCUCUAACUCCCCUUGCAAAUACGAGAAUAUUGUAUCCUUCUAUGCCCAUAUGUUUUUCUAGAGAUGGUGUGUUUCCAGAUGCAUCCCAUUCAUACUUCAUAGUGGAUUGCAUUGAUUUAACCAUCUUUAUUGUCAGUCCACUAUCUCUCCCGAGAGCCUCGACCUUGUUUGUGCUUCUUUGGGUACUUGUACUAACCUGAUAACAUAAUUAAAGGCUACAAGGAGACUACGGAGAGUAGUGCAUCCUUUAUAAGGUCCAAUCAUGCUUACACUUAUGUAUGUUGGUGAGUGCAUUAGCUACCCAUCCAUUAUGAUUGGGACCAAGCCCUAGAGUCUGCUUUGUAUCUCAACCUUUAUUUAUCUUUCUCCAAAGAGGUUUGGCUACACAUGUGUGCUCUGUUUCAUUGUCCCUGCUCACCCUAGCCUCUACACUCAAUACUCAUUUACCAAGCUUUUGGGAGAUGGUGCAUUCGGAGCCAAUACUAAAAUACAUAACCAUGCCGAAUGCUAUAGGAGCGAAAUGCUGGAAUAUUCAGCGACAACACCUCCCACUCCUUAGAGUCGCAGGUGGCAUCCAAGAUUACAAAUGACAUGUCACCCUUGUUUCCAUUGAUAUAAUAGCCUAGUUCUUUGUUUCUUCUUUGUACCCUAUGUUCUCUCUUUUCAAACCCUGCUAGGUUGUAAAACUUAUCCCUAGGUUAAAUAACUUUAAACUAAAAUUAAUAUACUAUCUAGAACAAUAGAAAAUCUGAAAGAAAAAAGAAGUUCACGAGAAGAGACGACUGGGAACAAAUCCCCCGCUAAAGUGUAUCAGUAGCAUGUGUUUGCCCGCGCUACUGCUAUACCUGCUUAGCAGUAGCGCUACUGGUAGUUACUAGCAGCGCGCCUCUCUACCCGCGCUACUACUAUUGUUACAUAUUUCUUUUUUGUUUCAUGCCGUAUUCAUAUGCCAUUAUACAAGUUUUCAUACAGUAGCAAUUUAGGGAUUUUUUUACAUCAGAAUGAGUUAUUACAUCAUUGGGUGAAAGAACCGCGGUUUAGCUUCAAGUGGAUGGAUCCUGGAUCCAUCCACUUGAAGGUAAACCGCGGUUCUUUCACCCAAUGACAUAAUAACUCAUCGUCGUCAUCAUCAUCAUCAUCAUCAUCAUCAUCAUCAUUAACAACUUAUCAUCAUAAUACAUCAUUGUCAUAUAACAACUCCUCAUGAUCAUCAUUUUCAUCAAUGAGAAAUCAUAUAGCAAGUUGGUCACUAGUCAUAAUCACAACUCCUCCACCUCCUCCUCAUCAACUCUAACACAUUGUACCACAUAAUAACACGUUGUACCGGACCUACUCCUCUCUAAUAGGACCUACUACACUCUCUUAGGUAAAACAACAUAAAACAAGAUAGGCCCUGACUCUCCAUUAUGGAGAAUGGAGAUUAUCCUGUCUCCAAUUCCUGUGUGUCGCACAAUUUUGCUUCCAAGUACCUCCCUACUACUGACCAUACAUUGUUUCCAAUCUUUGAUUGUCAUGUCUUCAUCGGUUUUAGAAAUCCGGUAUGAACAGCUGUGAUGUGUAGGAUGACCUGGCCGUAAGCUCAUAACAUCAAGGAGACCUUUCGGAAACAUAAGAUGAGGCACACAAUCCUUCAGGAUUUUCUGUUGAAAAACAUAGUAAUAACUUCGUAGUUAGCAAUGUAGUUUAGGUUUAGAAUAAUUUAUGCAAAAGAUGCACGGAUGUCGUACUAGUAAAAGAUCUUACCAUGCCGUCUCCAUGGAUGUUACUGUAGUUCAACACGUGCACUAGUGGCACGUAUUGACCAUAAUGUGUAGGAGUUUGAUAAUAGAUAUUGUAAUUCUCAAGAUCAUUAAUAAAUGAAAUCAGAUGAUUUUUCUCCUGUUAAGUUAAUUCUGCGCCAUCGGUGUAGUAGGUUCUGUCUACCAUCUUCCGCACAUUCUUUGAAGAAUGAAAAUAAGCUAUCAAUGGAAAUAAGCUGUAAACUAUUUUUGAAAUAAACAAUAAAUUACUUAAUAACUAUGUUUGAAAAACUCACAUAGCGGUAGAAUUGGAAGCGUAUCAACAAGGACCCAAAUGUCCAUAUUGUCUUCCUCAAUGUCAGGAUCACCAAAAUCUAUGGUGACAAGCAUACUCUCAUGGAAAUCAUAUGCCUUGCAAAGUGUUUCCCAACUCGGGCAACCAAAAUGGGAUACGCUCACAAAAUUGUAUAGAUUUACAGGAAAAUCGAAACCAUGAUGGGUCCUUAGGUGAACUAUCUUUGUUUCCAUAUUUUCAUGAUCUUCAAAAUCCAUCCUCUCCAAGACAUAGCAUCUUGCAUGUCAUGGGAUAAGCUAGUCGAAUUGUAAAAGACGAAAAUUACACGUUGAAGAAGAAGAAGUCAAGCUUAAUUACGAAAAAAACACUUUGCGUCAUUGUGUACCAUUUCAGCAUCGAAGGUCUCCUGAAGCUUAAUGCUGAAGCACGGACCUUCUACCAAGUGAGACCUGUCGCAGAAACCCUGGUUGUCGCCGCACCAGGAGCACUCCGCGAGACUUUCGUCGUCUGACGACAUUUCCUAUGUUCAUAAUUCAAAGAUUAAACUUCUAAAAUUCAAUAUAUAAAAUACAAAAAUUAAAUUAGAUUAUUAUUAUUUAGCACGGGUUGAUUAUCGGUCCGUCGAGUCUUUUUUUGAAAACUCUCAGCUCACGUGGUGUAUAUAUUCGAACGUUUGUGAUGGUCGCUCCUCCCUUUGUCCUCCAGUGCAUUAAACCAAAAUGUCUAGAACACGGGAACGAAGGAGAAGUGACCCCCACGACAACAGUCGGCAUUCUUCUUCUCUUAUAUAUGGUGGACACACUCCCUCACUGAUUUUUCGACCGUCGGUGAUGGUUGUUACUCCUCCUUCCCCUAGUGCAUAACAAAGGUCUAGCAUAAGGAGUAGAAGGAGAAAUGACCCCCACGACAACAGUCAGGAUUCUUCCUCUCUCAUAUAUGGUGCAGACUUUCUCCCUCACUCAUUUUUGGAUUGUCAUGUAUGGAGCCUCGACAGACUUAAAGUCAACCCGAAAUGUCGUUUAAUUAUCUUUCUAGAAAAUCUAGGCCACUCAAUAUUUCCUACAUAUUCUAGCACAAGUCAUGCCAAAAUUCACGGAAAAAUCCGGCAUGACCUUUGCUAAAAAGGAUAUAUCGAGCGCCUGAAAUUUGCUGGAACGGAAAUUACUCAACACUCCGGCAAAACAUAGGCCACUCGGAGGUGUUACCUGCAAACAUGGCCACUUGGGCAAGCACAUAUCCCAUUUUCAUUCAAACUUGAUGGUCAUCGCAUUCAAACUUGAUGGUCAUUGCAUUUCAAUGGUUAGAAAUAUGAACAAAAACAUUUCAAAAUAUCUUAUAGGACUCAUAUUGACAUGGAGAUUUGGCUGAUAUCACCUCGAGGUCGGAGGGGGUCCGUGACGGGGACGACGGCGGCGACGACAUGGAGAUUUGGGUGCAAAAACAAAAUAUAAAUAAAAACAUUACUAUCCUCAUCUAAGGACUUAGUGAAACCCUAUAAGCUAUCAACUAAUCAAAUGCAUACACCUUGCAUAGUGCUCUCCAAUUUGAGCAUUCAAAAUAGGAGUAGUUCUCCAAUUUGAGCAUUCAAUAAGCAAAACAAAAUCAUAAAAUAGAUUAGUAUUCAAAUUAGCAUGCAUUCAAUAAGCAAAACUAAAUCAUCUCUUGCGUCCGUACAUCAUCGAAUAUUAUCACUAAUACAUCUCGAAUAGUAUCAUACAUAUAACCUCAUUAAUAAACCUAAAACCCUAGCGAACGACGGGUAUCAGCGCGGGUGGUGGACAACCAAAGAGAAGGAACCAUCACAGGAUCAUAGCUCCAGUGAGAUCCCUGAAGAACCUGCCAGGUAUUGGAGAACCUUCCCUCUAACGCAACCAUGUAGCGACGAACGUGCUCGUCCUCCUUGCUAACACAGUGACGUACCACCUCUGUGGGGGCCUCAAGCCUCCGCACUGUCACUGGCCCACGCGACCGCCACCAAAGAAGGUUCGGGUCAAUGACGGGCUGGCUCCUCACCAAGCUGCGCCCCCGGAAGGUAGCACAUCCCAGUACCAGCCCGGUGGAGCCCAGUCCCGGACAUGACCCCUCUGAUCAAGUAGGCCUCCUCUGCCGAGUUGACGAUGAGGAUGCGGGAUAGGCAUCGUUGACGUCAAUGCGGGAAUAAUUGCUUUAACUAAAAAAAUAAACUCGUUCUAUUAAUUUUCUUACUAAAAAUAAACUAGUUCUAUAGUAAAAAUUUAAUUAGAUCAUCAAAUCUCAUAUACCUAAAUUUUCUUACUAAAAAUAAACUAGUUCUAUUAAUUCAACUAGUUCAACUAAACACUUACUAUAAAUAAAAAUAAACUAGUCUUACUAAAAAUAAACUUGUUCAACUAGUUCUAUUAAUUUUCUUACUAAAAAUAAACUAGUUCUAUUGAUUCAACUAGUUCUUACUAAAAAUAAACUAGUUCUAUUAAUUUUCUUACUAAUUCUUUUAAACACUUACUAAAAAACAGUAAAAAAACUAUACUGAUUUUUUCUCUCUAAACUAAACACUACUCCCUAAUUAACAUCUAGUUAAACCCUACUGCCCUAAUUCUUAAGCAUCUACAAGUACUAACUAAUUAGAUGAACCCUAGCUAGGUACUUAAGCAUCUACAACUACUUAAGCACCCAUUGAUGAACCCUAGGAAUUUGUCCUAAAAACUACUUAAGCAUCUACAACUACUGCCCUAAUUAACAUCUAGUAUACAAUUAUAUUUACUUAACUACAUUGGGUGCACAACAACUAUAUAACUACUUAAGCAUCUACAAGUAGUAGCUAAUUUGAUGAACCCUAACUAAUUAGAUGAACCCUAAAAUUUGAUGAACCCUAGUUAGGUAGAGGUAGGGGAGGAGGAGGAGGAGGUGUAGGCAUGCUCACCUAGGGCGCCGACGGAGUUAGGGAGCGGCCGAGGGAGGGGCACGCGGCGUCGAGGUCGGGGUCGGGGCUAGGGCGCGCGGAGGAGGGCGACAAUGUAGGGCGACGGCAACGGCGGCCACCGAGGGCGUGCAGAGGGCGACGGGAGAGCGCGCGGCGGUCGACGGCGAUGUAGGGCGACGACGGCGGCGACAGCAAAUCGAGGGGGGAUUUGGGGGAAGUGGCCGGGGGGAAGAAGAACCGCGCGGUUAAGACAAAAAUAGCAGUAGCGCGGGCACGGAAAAGCGCUGCUGCUACAUUAGCUAUAGCUAACUUAGAUAUAGCGCUGGCUAAGAGAACGCGCUACUGCUAUUUUAGCUAUAGCGUUUGUCCUAAAAGCACGAUGCUGCUAUGCCUUUCUCCUUUAUUUUUCUUUUUCUUUUAUUUUCCUUCACAUUUUCUUUUUUUCCUUUCCCCUUUUUCUAUUUCUUCCAUUUUCAUUUACUUCUCUAUAUGUUUUUUAUUUUAUUUUAUUUUCAUUAGCAAUAGUGCUUUCCGUGUAAAACACACUGCUACAACAACCUUAGCAGCAGCGCGCUUUGCGUAAGCUCGCUACUACUAUUCCUAGACUGCUGAGAACAGUGUCGGAAUUGUAGUAGUAGCACUUCUUUCGUCUGACGCGCUACUGCUAUAAGCUUAGCUGCAGCGCGUUUAUUUGUCGGGCGCUAGUGCUAAGUAGUAGUAGCGCUUCUUUGUGACCCGCGCUACUGGUACGUUUCUGUGUAUAUGGUUUUCCCUUGUAGUGAAUGAUGGGUGGUGGUCCACCGGAUGAAGAUCCCAUCCCAAUUGAUGGAAAUCCUCGCCCAAGACUAGAUUAGGGUCAUAUUCAUCUCAAUCAAGAGAAUCAUAUGAUUGAAAUGCUACCUUUGGCUCAAGUUAAUGCACCUCAGCAACAAGGAAUUGAUAAUGUCAAUGCAGCACACCAGAUCCAGCCAAUUUCAAAUAUACAAAUAGUGGAAGAGACGAGGGAGAAACAGAGGAGGAUGAGCUGGGGACUUUGGGCUAUGCCUCUGAAUUAAAAUAUUAAUCGAGAGUUACAUAAUACCGAGUUCCUAUAAAUGAAUGAUCUUUUGGUACCAUUAGACAUCAACAUAGAUUAAUAGCUUUACCCGGAGGUACAAAGCAGUCUGACACUAUCUCUGGCUAUUACUGAAGCUAGCAAGAUUUAUUAAUUCCAUUGCUGGAGGUGGCCCACAAGAAACUAGCACUUUUUCCGAGAGCUCCCAAAUCUUAACUUGGUCCUUCCUCCUCCUGAACAAUGCUUCCAAAUGGUUCACUUGCAAAGAUUGAUCCAAAAGAGACACAUCAUAAAAAUUGUACAUGCCUCAACCACUGUUUCAACUAAUUGACUCUCUCCAAAAACUACUGGAAGAAGACUAGCUGAAUACUCAACAUGUCGUAGCACAUGAACUGGAUCAUAAUUCCCCUCCAUAACCAUCAUUUUUUUCCAGCCAAUUCUAACUCCUCUAGAUAGCAAGUCCAACUCUCAACAACCUGAACUUAAUGGAACCGAAGUGCCAACUUUCCAGUUUCAGCCGAUCAAACAAGUAGAAGCUAGUCCAACAGGGCCCUACAACUUGGAUUGAACAUUUAAAUUUGAAUAAUGCAAUUGAGGUGUCCCAGGAAGUCCAAGAAGCACAUAUGCUUGAUACUAUUAAUCUUGAAUAUUUGGGGAAUUAACUAUGAGAAAAGAUGGACUGCUAUAUCAAAUAAAAUUGAAGAAAUGGUGCGUCAUUUUGUGUAUCAGGAAAUAAAGAAAGAAUUUUACCAAAGAUACUUGAAACUGCCCCUGGAGAUCGAAAAAUCACGCCUUUAGUAGUGGCCUUAUGGGGUUGGUAAUUUUACGGAAUGAUAGUAUUUUCAAGGGAGAAGAUUCUUCAGAAUGAUUUCUUUUUUAUCUAUUUCGUUCACUUCCAUUAGCUUAGCAGACCCUUCGUUCUUAACAAAUGCUUAUGGACCCUUCCAAUCGAAAGAAAGAUCAGCAUUUAUGGACUCGUUACAAACAUUUAAUAGUUGGAUGACAAAAGGCUGGAUCAUUGCAACAGAAUUCAAGUUCAUCAGAUACCCUAAUAAUAAAAACAGAAAAGGGGCAACAUUCAAGGCAUGAUGCACUUUAAUGCUACCAUUAAUCACCUAAGCAUUGUCGAAAUCCCUUUAAAGGGAACAAGCUAUAAUUGGAGCAAUAUGCAAGACAUCCCUAUGUUUGAGCGUUUGGAUUUGUCCUUUCUUCAUAAGCUUGGACUAUUGCUUACCCUAAUACCUGGGUUAUCACAUUGGCCAAAACCACCUCUGAUCAUACUUCUAGUGUCAUCUAGAUAGUCACAUUCGUACCUAAGUUAAUGCUAUUCAGAUUUGAAAACUACUGGCUUCAACAUCUAGUAGACUGUCAAGAAUAUAUGGGAUCAACCUUCCAAUGAAGGGGGCAAUGUCAAAAUUAUUACGGUAAAAUUCAAAAGAUCGAGAAAAAGUAUGAAUCUAGGGGCCAAGACACUCUAAUCUCUCUGGAGCAAUUCGAAAUACUAAUAGCGUGAUCUUUUACUAUGACACCACUUAAGAAUAUAGGCCUGUUAGUGCAGUGGGAGACAACAACUGGGCUCCUUCAUCUCGUGAUAGAGCUGGAGUCCUUUGCUGUUGUGGGGCAGCUUUGCCUGCAAGGAUUUGCUGUCGCUGACAAGAGGAACACCUUCACAAGUCCUGGGAUAUGUUUGGAUCUUGACCAAAGUGUAGCUUAUCAUAGUUCUGUGCUAUGACCAAAACAUGGAUUUAUAAAUGGAUAGUUGCCAAGUUUUUUGUCAUAAUAAUACCUUUUUGUGAACCCUAAUUCGUGUUUCUACCAAUGUUCUAACUAACGGGUAACAAAAUUUCUACCAAAUUUCUGGCUAGGGCGUGUUUGGUCUGAUUCGUGCAAAUUCGUUGUUUUUCCUUUAAAUUUUGGACGCUGAGUUGUGAUUGUAUUACUCGUAAAAAAGGAGAACUGUGCUGGUUGCCUGCCUGCUUUUUGUGUUGUGUGACUUUCUGUGUCUUCCGCUUGUUCGCUUCCGCCCAUCUUUCUUGCCCUUUCCCUCGGUCCAUUCGUCUCGCCUCCUGCACCCCUCUCUCAUUCUCCACUGCCCCCUCUUGUGUGCACACCUACCGUGCUUCUCUGUCUACCUUACUCACACCAAACAGCCGUUGGCCAGGAGAGGCACUGUGAUUCCAGCGACCAAUGAUGGAUGUGGGUAGGUACACUCCCUGUCCGUAGGGAUGCAAGCGGCGUCCUGCAUAUCCCGCAAAACCAGCGAAUUAGUUCAACGCUGGCUGGAAAAUUAUCACUAAACUAGUGAUUGAUUUAUACUAAGUUGUAGCCCGCAAACACGUCCACUCUGUGUCCCUACCUGUCCGCAUUCUCCCGCUUUCCUCGCGUAUUGUAAAAAUUUAGGUCUCGAUUCUGAAUGUGCACAAACCCUAGGUUUUCGUGAGGCGUGGUUGUAGUUGAGGGGGAAGAGAGGCAAAAUUUUGAUUCAUCCGGUUUGUACAACUGCAAAUUUCUGGUCGACUUUCAUUUUUUGUAUGUCACUAUAUGGGCAAGGAGUGGUUUUGACUCAUACCGCAAUCUCCCAUGUGAGUACAUUAGUGUUGCCCAUGCCUUUACUCCUUGCAAAUAGUUUGUUAAUGCUCUUGGCUAAGAAACAUAUGAUUCUUUGAGACGAUGUGUUUCCAUAUGCCUCCCAUUCAUAUGUCAUAAAGGAUUGCAUUGAUCCAACCCAUCGUUUAUUGUCACUGCACUCUCUUGCUCAGGAGCCUCGACUUUGUUCGUGUUUGUUUGGCUGCUAGCACUAUCCCUAUAACAUAGUUAGAGGCUACAAAGGGAAUAUAGAGAGCAGUGCAUCCUUUAUAAGCGUCGAUCAUGCUUAUGCGGAGGAAGGUUGGUGAGCACAUUAGCUACCCAUCCAUUAAUUUCGUGCCCAGGUCCUAGAGUCUACUUCGUCCCCGAGCCUUAAUUUCAGUGGCAAGUGGAGGUUGGAAAUGACAUGCCAUCCAUCUUUGCAUUGAUAGCAUAGCCUAAUCCAUUUUUCUUCUUCGUAGCCUCUAUUUUCCUUUCUAAAUCUUAUCCCCAUGUCAAUUAACUCCAAGCUGAAUUCAACAUACCAUCUUGCACAACAGAAAAUCUUAACAUGACGGUGCUUGCAAGGUGAAACUUGUAGUUAGCAUUUGUCGUUGGAGGGCCUGGAGCCUUCAGUCCUGUGAUCGUGUUUUUAGCGUUACCAUUGGCGUAACAUAUUCUAAUAGAAGGAAGCAAAAAGUUUUUACAAGAAGCUCAUCCCCAUUAUCAUCAAUAGGCUAGAGCGCACGUGCACGCAUGCACGCACACACUAAUUACUCUUUAAGAUUUGACUCCCCACCUGCAUGGCCAACUUCUAUCGCUGGAAUCAAUCCAAUAAAUGGGAGAGUGAGGUGACCUCAUUGACCUGUUGAUGCAUAUUACCAACCACUCAAGCGUUCCUCUGUUUCCAAAGAAUCCAUGCAACCGAGAUCAUGUGCAUGCGACAACCUUCUAUGUUAAUACUAGUAUUGGCCAGCAAGCCUCUGGAUCGAACCCACCAAUCUUCAAGUGUUUCAUUAGCGUUUGGUGCAAUGGUAGAAGGGUAGAGUUGUAUCAAGAAUGCUUACCUAAUUCUCAUCUUGAAUUGGAGGUUUUAUUUGUGUUUCGUUUCAAACUAUUCGCAUGUAGGUUUUAUAGGCCUUUUAAUGUCUGACGAUGUGUUCUAAUGGAAAUGUAAAUUUCCAGUUUCAUAACUUUAUGACUUUUGUUUUGAAAUGCAGGUUGCAUUGCUUCUCCAUGUGUUUGAAAAUGUCAUUUUACUUUUUGGAUUUCUUCCCAACUUCAAGUAUUGUUGUAUGCCGAGACAACUUUUCAGUACCCUCCUCCCUUCAAAAUCCUAAAUUUGCAGAAUAGUUGAUAAUCACAUACUAUAUUUUUCAUUAUGGAAAUUUACAUAGAAUGAUAGGAAAAUUGAGGAUUUUCUCUGAGUAGUCUUUGAAAAGUCAAGGAGCCUUGUAAUCUACAUGUAUGGUGACAAGAUUGUGGGGAGCCGACACCCGCACUCUAUAUCUCUCCCCCCGAGUUGCCCCCUCGCUUUAUCUACCCUACCAACCUUAGCAACAUAACUCCUCCAAUGGUUGUUCCACUCGUCUCAGUUUUGCGCUAAUAUUUCCUAGUCUCUCGGAAAUGUGGUGUUGAGCUUAUUCUACACCCAUGUUGAUUGUCGUAAAUGAUGUUUUCUUCCUAUCCCAAGAGCCUCUACUCCAUUCAACUUAGUUUGGGUGCUAGUACUGUCCUUAUAAGAUAGGCAUCACGCUACAAAGGUAGUGCAUCCUUUAUAAAGGUGGGUCAUGCUUACAUCUGCAAGGUUGGUAAGCGCGUUAGCUAUCCAUCCAUUAACCCCAUACGAAAAAUAUUUAUUAACAGGUACAAUUGACAAUCUCAAGGUGCCUCAAGUUGAUGGUUCUACAUCUAAUGGAAACAGAGGAGAGCUAUCUUUUAAAUGAUAUAGCGAAGCAAAAAAGUAAGUUAGUGAUUUUUGAUGGCCAAUGAGGUGUCGGUGUCGCUGGCGGGUGUGACACCAGAGUGUUGGGGUGAGUCUAGUCUAGCCGCGGUUCUGUGCUACUUGGGGUAUGCUGCAACUUUGUUCCAAAUUUUGUCUCCAAAUGAAAUGCAUGUCACUCUGUGUUCGACAUAGUAUGUAAUUCUACCUUUUUGUAUUUUUUAUAGUGACAGUUUUGAUCCUUUUGUGGAAUGUUGCUAGCAUGGCCAUGCCAACCUGCCAAUCAAGUUCAUUUUUGACAUUACCCCUGAACCAGUGCCUUGUGAGGGGAUGCACCCUGAGACAUGAGAGAGAGAGGGAGAGAGAGAGAGAACUACUGUUCAAAAUAGUGUUUCUGAUGGCAGGGCCAAAAAAUAGAGCGGGGACAUGGAGGAAUAGCUGUGAUGCUGCCUUUAUGUAGCGGCAAUUCAAUUUUCAGCUUUUAGUUUCUCUCUCUCAAGUGCCUCCCUAUCGCGCUCGCUCUCUAUCCACCUGUUAUUGUGUACCAAAGGCAACCAUUGAUCCCUUUGGUACACAAUAAACUUUUCCUCUGUUUUUCUUUAAUUCUCAGUGCACCUUGAUCAUGGUGCUAGUUUUGAGCUGAUAUGCACUGCUCUAUUCCGCAGGUCCGAUGGCCCCUCUACCGUCACCUCAAAUUUAAUUUACCUUUCAUUGUAGGAAAUCGAUGGAGUUCAGUUUUCUGUACAGCCACUCUACUUGUGGCGGAUGAGGUGCUUACACAUGCCUCCCAUUCACAACAGAUUGCAUUGCUUUAAGCCAUUGUAAUUUUCACCACUCCCUCUCUCUCUCUAGAUCCACGACCCUGUUCAUGUUUGUUUGGCUGCUAUCACAAUCCUGCCAACAUACUAUGUAAGGGGAUAGAUGACCGAGACUACAUAUAUAUUUGCUAAGGCGUGUCAUGAUUACACGAGGGAAGGUUGGUGAGCUUAUUAGUUGGCAACCAUCUGUUACAUUUGUGACCAAGUCCCGGAAUAUGUUUAGUACACAAGUCAUAAUUUCCUCUUCUAGAUGGAGGUUUGGCCACAUGUGUGCACCUGCUCCAUUGUCUGCAUCUUGAUCUCAACCUUAACAUUGAGUUGCCAAGCUAGUGGGGGAUGAUGCUUUCGGAGCUUGUACCAAAGACCGGAGUCAUGCUCAACACUAUAGCCUCAUGUUCGGGUUUUCGUUCUCUCUUCAUUAUACUUUUUGUCUUUGUUUCUUUUUUGGUUUUCUUCAUUUUCUUCACUUUUUUUCUUUUCUUUUUGUUUCUUUGUCGCUUUUAUUGGUUUUUAAACACAUGUUUACUCUUUUCUGUAGUACACACAUUUUCAGAGUACAUGUGAAAACAUUUUUCUGAUACACAUUACGCAUUUUUCAAAUACAUGAUGUAUAUAUUACUUUUAUGACGUCACAACCACCUUCCUAGUCGAUGGGAAGGUCUCCUAUUACUGAAUGCUCAUCGCCGGAAUGCCUGAAAUAAAUUCAAGAAAAUGCAAGUAUCAAUGUCAAGUUUAGGACUUGAACUCUGGUGGGUUGGGAUACUAUUCUCCUCCUAACCAUUCAAUCACAAUUUGGUUCGCUGAUGUGCAUUUUAUUGUAAGAUACAUGUUUUGAACAAUUUUUGGAAAUACGUUAACAUUCUCCAAUUAUACAUUGUAUAUUGUUUAGUGCCAACAACAUUUUCUUAAACUAUAUAUUUUUCAUCUACACGAACAUUUAUUUACAUUGUAUAUAUCAUUUUUUAAAUGUCAUGAGCACGUUUUGAAACACAGGAAUAAUUUUUGAAACAUUUUCUACUGGUAUGAAACUUUUUUAAAAUUAUCGCUACAUUUUUUAACAUCACAUACAUGCUUUUUAAAAUUUUCAGAUACAUAUUUUUAAAAUCCUCUAACAAAUUUUAUUCAAUGUUAAAAAAAUUCAUAUACAUGUUUCUAAAUUCUUAAGUAAACUUAAGUUUGUGAAAUAUAUGCAUUUAAUUUAUAAAUAAAUGUAAAAAUAGGAAAAAAGAUUUUGAGUAAUAUGACGAGCCACCUCCUACUGGGAGCGCCUAUUCGGCGCCUUCAGCGCCGCUGAAGGCAUCUGGCGCCUGCGGUAGUGCCUGCUGGGCCGGCCCACAAACGCGCACGCACAAAAAAGCUGUAUUAUUACGCGAAAAGGCAUCCAAAAAGGUGGCUCCCUGAGAAUCGAACUCACACCCAGACGCAAGUCUUCGAGGUUGGCGAAUCGGUACACCCAAUGGCUGCUAGUAAUUCAUUUUAGCGUAUGUUGAUUUAAGAACCAACAUAGCAGCGCUACUUAUUGUACAGCCCCUCGCUUAGAUUUUGACUUAUUUGGAAACAUUAAUAAAAAACGUGAAUGUAUGGAAAAAUAUGAUGUUUUUUGGAAAGUUGACGAACAUGCAUAAAAAGUUGGCCAAUGUAAAAAAGGUUCAUAUAUUCAAAAAAGCUCAUGAAAUGGAAAAAAAUGCACUAAAUUUGAAAAAACAGUUCACAACAUUGAAAAAUGUCCAUGAGUUUGAAAACGUUCACGGAUUUGAAAAAGUUCAUCGAAUUUGAAAAAGAGUUAACUAAAUUUUAAAACGUCCAUCGAAUUAUAAAAAUUUCAUCAACUUUUCAAAAAGUUCAUCGGAUUUGAAAAAUAGUUCAUCAAAUUUGAAAAUAAGUUCAUCGAUUUUUUUAAAAAAUUGUCGGAUUUGAAAAAGUUCAUCGAAUUUGAAAAAAAGUUGUUCAAUUUAAGAAAAAAGGUUCACAAAUUUUAAAAAAGCGCGCAUUGAAGAAAACAAAAAGAAUUAACAGAAAAGGAUAAGAAAAAUAGUAAAAGAAAAAUGAAAAAAACGAAUGGCACUAAAGAAGAAGUGAAAAAGAGUACAACAGAUCAACAUGUGUAGCGUAGCCUGGUGGUUCCUACGAAGAGUUCCUCUCUGUUAGGUUGUCGGUUCGAGUCCCCGUUGCAGCAUAUUUUUUGCGAGUCUAAAAUACUAGAUGGGCCGGCCCAGCGCAUUAACGGGCGCCUGCAGCGCCAAAUAGGAAACGCCCCUCCUACUAGGCCAGCCAACCACCGGCGUCUGCCUCGCAAUAAGCGGCCCAUAGUCCAUUGGAGUUGGAGCGACCGCUCCCGUUAGGCCACUGCGCCCAGGCCGGUGGGAGCGGGAGCUCCUAUAGGACGCUCUUUGCGUCAAAUUGUCGUCCCGACGCACAGGGAGGCAUCGUGGCUGGGCCGGCCCAUAGAGAUGUAUCGCUGGAACGAAAAGAAAGCAAAAAACAGAAUCAGGCGCGAUGGAAGGAAUCGAACCAGCAACCAUCAGCUUGCACAUGCAUCGUCCCAACCACCCGAGCUGUCUACCAUUCGUUGUACCAAACCAACGCGCAACUUAAAUAACCGAGCACAACCGACCAACCAGACUUGUCUACUGUAUCAAACCGAAAUUAGUUACUCUACUGAAAAUCUUUAAAAAUGCACAUUUCUUCUGAAUUUUUAUAUUUUGAAAAAGUGCGAAGAUUUUUUAAAUAUCUGAAAAAAUUGUAGACAGGAACAUCUUUUCGCAUAUGCAAUUUUUUUUGAAAACUGCAGGAAAUGUUUUCGAAAAACAUGAAUCAUUUUUUGAAGCUGUAUACAAAUUAUGAAAUACCAAAACAUUUUGAAACUGCGAAUAUUUUUUGAAUUUUUGAACAAAUAUUUGAAAAUGCAACAUUUGAUGAAAUUACGAAAAUAUGAAACUGCGCACAUUUUUUGAUUUUGUAAACAAAUAUUUGAAAAUGUAACUUUAUGAAAUAUCUAACAAAAAAAUUUGAAACCACGAACAUUUUUUUGAUAUACCCAUACACUUUUUCAAAUGUGAACACUUUUUGAAUUUCGGACCAAAUUUUGCAACUGCGAACAUUUUUUACACUUCCAGAGGUAUAUUUGAAAUAAGAACAUUUUCUAAAUUUGUGAACAAAUUUUCAAAUACAUGAACUUUUUUGAAAUUCUGGUACAUUUGUUGAAUUGAGGAACAUAUUUUGUAAAGCAGAACAUAUUUAAAAAUCUGAAAAAGAAUUAAAAAAGACAAAUAUCAACAUGAAAAAUGAAAAAAAUGUGAAAAUAAAAAAUGAAACGAAAGAAAAAAGGAAAGUAAAAGACAGGAACAUUUUUUCGUAUAUGCGAACAAAAAUUUGAAACUGCGGAAAAUUAUUUUGAAAAACCUGAACCAUUUUUGAAGUUGUGAGUAAAUUAUGAAAUUCUGAACAAAAUUUGAAACCGUGAACAUUUUUUGAAUUUUUGAACAAAUAUUUGAAAAUGCAACAUUUGAUGAAAUUACAAAAUUAUGAAACCAUAAACAUUUUUUGAAUUUGUGAACAAAUAUUUGAAAGUGAAACUUCAUGAAAUAUCUAACAAGAAAUUUGAAACCAGGAACAUGUUUUGAAAUUCCUGAACACUUUUUCAAAUGUGAACAUUUUUUGAAUUUUAGACCAAAUUUUGCAACCGCGAACAUUUUUUACUAUGCCAGAAGUAUUUAUGAAAUAUGAACAUUUUCUAAAUUUAUGAACAAAUUUCAAAUACAUGAACAUUUUUUGAAAUUUUUGUAAUUUUUUGAAUUUAUGAUCAUAUUUAAUAAAGUGGAGCAUAUUUUAAAAUCUGAAAAACUUGAAUUAAAAAAGACAAAAUAUCAACAUCAAAAAGGAAAAAAAAGGCGAAAAUAGAAAAUGAAAUGAGAAAGAAAAAGGAAACAGCAAAAUGAAAAGAGAAAAGAAACAAGCAAAAAUAAACAGAAACACUAAAAAGAAAAACCAAAAACCAAAAAGAAACAGGAAAACCGGUUCAAAGAACCUUCUAGAAGGUCCCAAAACCAGGAAAACCGGCUGGGAAGCUCUAGAAGGUUCCCAAAACCGAAAGUGCUGCAACCCUGUUAGUGGGCCGGCCCAGGUCAUCCAUCGAUCGGUAAGUCUCUGUGUGAAAGGUCGACAUUUAGACGCAACAUGCGUCCAAUAGGGAAUUCCGGUGGGAGCUACUAGUUAACGAGCGCUCUUUUUGGGGCCUUACAACGAUCAGCACCACUUGGCACGCUCUUAGCCAUUCGUCACGUGUCGCGCUCUGGGAGCGCCCUUUGAAUUUUUUUUAUUUUCCGCACGCAUUUUCGGCUAUUGAAAUGGUUUUUUUUUCCUGGUUGUUUUCGAUGUUUUGGUUUUCCUUAGCUUUUCGACAAAAAAAAAUAAAAAAAAAUAUUUUUGCACGAAAAAUGCAUUUUUUCCUUUCGCGAGAGUCAUGGUUUUGCUUUCGCGGGAGUCACGACCGUGUCUCUCGAAAGCGGGGAAAAACGUGUUUUCUGUUUUUUUUCCCUUUCGCGAGAGUCACGGCCGUGCCUCUCGGAAACAAAAAAAACACGUUCUCUGUCUUUUUUUUCCUUUUGCGAGUCACGGGUUUGCUUCCGCAAGAGUCACGGUCGUGCCUCUCGGGAACGAACAAAAAACGCAUUUUUUUCCUUUCACGAGAGUCACGGUUUUGCUCCCGCGAGAGGCACGGGUGUGCUUUCGCGAGAGUCACGGCCGUGCCUCCUCGGAAACGAAAAAUGCAUGUUUUUUCUUUUUUUUCUUCUUCCGCGAGAGUCAUGGUUUUGCUUCCACGAGAGGCACAGGCAUGCCUCCUCCGGAAAGGAAAAAAACCAAUGCUUCCGGUUCGGUCUUUUCGUCCAGGUUUUUUCAUGAAAAAAAAAGUACGUCAAAACCUAUCAACAUGGGAUUCAGUUUUGAAGAUUUUGACGCGAGGAAUCCAACGGUAAAAGUGGGGUAAAAGUGGUUUGGGAUUUGAACGCAAAGUUUGAAAGAUAAAACAUUUUGAAUAAAUGGAUCCGCUACAUGUGCGCCACUUAUCGCAACCUGGAGAGUUGGAGUGAUCUUUGCAACGAGUACUCCUCAACUCGUAAUUUUGCAGAUAGGUUCCAAGUAAGUUCGUCUGCUAUCCUGUUUUUUCCUUUCUUCGUUUCUUCUUUUAGUUUCAUUUUCAAUUUUUUUUACGGAACACUGUGAGACAAAAGCCCCACUUCCAAACAAUUUUUUUUAAAAUGUUGGAAUCAUUAAUUUGUAAAUUAUAAUUAAUACAAUGUUAAACAAUUGUUAGCUUAAUUCAACGAAAAUGUUGAUAGCAUAUUAAAACAACAUUGGUGACCUUUCUAAGAAGUUCACUUGUUUCAAAUAAUGUCUGCUACUUAUGAAAUUUUUUAAUCAAAUAGUUAAAAAAUAUUACAAAAAUAUAAAAUAAAUAUUUCAAAAAUAUGUGAUUCUUUUUAUAGCAGACACAAAAAAUGUUUCAGCCAUUGAAAUAAUGUUUACGCAUUUAAAAAAAUGUAUGUGACAUUACAAAAAAUGUUAAGCAUGUAUUCGGAAAUGUUAAACGUAUAUUAAACAAAUGAGAACUGUAAUAUAGCAAUGGAGGAUGGUCUUUGCAAAGACAACCACAUCAGCCAUAGACAGAAAAUUUAAAUGAUUGUUUACAACUUAUCUCUUGAUUCUUUACAACUCAGCUGCAAGCUUACCUAUUUAAUCGAAGGAAAAACACUACCUAAAGCUCUCAAGCAUUAUAGUGCAUCAAUCAACGGCAAUAUAAAGACAUGGGAUUUUGUGGAGGACAAGCAUAUAAUUUUGAUGUCAUCUCAUAACCUAACAAAUAUCAACUAAAAAGUAUAGAGUUAAGAAGCACAUUCAUAUCUCAAUGCAAAGUGGAAUUCAGAACCCUACAAACCAUGGAAGCAAAGCAAUGUAUGCAGAAAUUGUUAAAUAUGCAUAUAGAUUUAGUGAUCUGUUCUCGGGACAGUAAAACACCAUAGUUAAUAAUUCAUGUCGUCCAGUAGUUGUAAGUUUUGGUACAAAGGUCAGCAGUACAAGCUUGAUAUAGUUGCGAAGAUAUAUUUUUACAACUCUCAGAAAUAGAUGCCAUCUAGAAGAUAUAUUCUUGCAACUAAAAAUAGCUAACUCUGGUUUGCAUAAAGCAUAGCCUGUAAUGUAACACCCUAGAUUGUAACAUCAAUCUAGGCAGAUUGGGAACCACACUAAAGAGAUGUAAAUAUUCUCACCAUUUUCUAGCAUAAAUCAAGGUACAACAACAUAGCUUUAGAUACAUGUAAUGUAAAUCCUUAUUGGUGCAAACCUGAGGAGGCAUAUGGUUUUAAACAGCCAUAGUAAAGCACACAAAACAGAGGUAAAUAUUCUAACCAUUUUCUAGCAUAAAUCAUGAUAGAAAAACAUAGCUUUAGACACAUGUAAACCCUUGAUUGGUACAAAUCUGAGGAGUCUUGGUUUUAACCAGCCAUAGUAUUUGGACUAGAUGAUAGGCCGUGUAUACAAAAUGUACAACUGUAUUAUUCAGUUUUGAGAUCAUUUGUCCCUUCAACUGAAAGAAUCUGUCAAUAGGGCAUUAUAAGAAAUACAAGACAGACUAGUAAAGCAUGGAUUACUUUCACAAAUUUAAUCCCUUCAAACAAAGAUAUUGCAGAAGAAUGGAUAUUUCAUCAAAACUGCAUCCUCAGAUUGAUCAACAUAUUAUGAACAUUGACAGGUCCAGAAUAGUCCCCNNNNNNNNNNNNNNNNNNNNNNNNNNNNNNNNNNNNNNNNNNNNNNNNNNNNNNNNNNNNNNNNNNNNNNNNNNNNNNNNNNNNNNNNNNNNNNNNNNNNNNNNNNNNNNNNNNNNNNNNNNNNNNNNNNNNNNNNNNNNNNNNNNNNNNNNNNNNNNNNNNNNNNNNNNNNNNNNNNNNNNNNNNNNNNNNNNNNNNNNNNNNNNNNNNNNNNNNNNNNNACUGUCGUUCAAAGGAAAUUUAUGGUGACAUGGACAUAUUAGUACUCAUGAAUCUAAUUAUUAGCUUCAUCAAGCGAUAGCAACAAACAUAUACUGCAGCAAAGAAGAACAUCUAGUUAGGCAACCACACUGAAACAAAGUUUGCCAGCUUACUGCGCCAACCAAAAUCUUUGUGGUGCAGUAAAGAUUUUAGAAUUUUAAUUUCAUUAAGAACCUUUACAACACAAAACUGGGAUUUCAACCGGCCCUCCAGGCUAUAAUGAAGCAUUGCCAGGCGAUAAGCAAUGUAAGCCAGCACAGAAUUUUUAAUGCAUUGGAGAAUGGCCUGUUCUCACACUUUCCUAGUUUCAAUAUAUGUGUUAAAUAACAGCACCAGGAUGAACAAGUUCAUAACAAGGCAACAAGCCAUGAUUUCUUCUCUACCAGAUGAUACACUAAGAUUCAGGAUUCAAAUCAUCAGUUUAACCAACAGCUAGCAACGACCAUGACCGCAUCUAACAGAGUGGAAGACCAACAUCCAAUUAGGCAAAGUACACCGAAAUAGGAAUUACCAGCUUACCACACAAUGAAAACUUUGUUGCACAGUACAGAGUUUACCAAAUUCAUAGACCAUUCUUGGUUCAUGUAAACCUGAAUCUAGUUGGCACUUCCCCUUUGCAAGCAGCUGCAUAGUCUUCAGCAAGGUGUGGUGCAGCUUCCUUGUAAGGGCAUAUGAACUUGUCCAAGAAUUCCAUCUCGGUGGCCUUGACAAAUGUAUAGUAGCACAUGGCACGCUUGAGCAAUCUGUUUUCCGUAAGAAACUUCAUAACAUAGUACCGGGGCCUGAGCCGGCCCUCCAAGCUAUAAUUGAGCAAUGAUGGGCGGCGGGCAAUGUACGCCGGCUCCAACCCCACCUCAGAGAUAAGGAAUUCAGACCUGCGCUUCAGCAUGUCCUUUGACGUCACGAGCACAGAUGGACCCUUGGACACAGCAAUGCCAACCUCCGCAUCCGACCACCUAACCGUCUUCUUCAAGUAGUCCAUUCUGGUGGCGAUCUUCUCCUUGCUGAGGAAUGCAACAGACUGCAGAGCGCGCCUGAACAUUCCGGAGCCACGGGGCACACCUAUACCUUCGGCGCACGCAACCAUCUCCAGGACACGCGCUGGUUUGGCAUAAAGUAUCCUCGGCACACGGAUGAAGAGCUUGGCAAUAUCACAAGCACCCAGCCCGCACUCUGCUAGGAGAUUGACAUUGGGCUUGACCACCCUCUCGAGGUCAGAGCCGAGGAUGGAGGAGCCUUGCUUGAGCGGCUGGAGCAGGUUUUCGAUGGAGCCGCAGAGCGGCAGGUAGUACUCUAUCUUGGAGACGACGGAUCUGAGGCGGAAGUGGGCGGGGGCGAACGAGACGAGGCGCGCAAUCUCAGCUUGUGACAGGCCGAGGCCGGUGAGCCCAGCGAGGACGGGGGACAGCGUUUUCUCCACGGCGGCGCAGAGGAUCUUCGGGUCCCUGGCGACGACGGCCGCGACAUCAGCGCCGGAGAGGCCGAGGCCGGCGAGGAAGGCGAGGACCGCGUCGGGCUUGGCGGGGGACUUGAGGUGGGAGAGCGUGGCGGAGACCUUGAGUGCCUGGGCACGGGUGAGGCCGCAGGUGUCGACGAGGUAGUCGCCGACGGCGAAGCUAGGGUUCGGGGAAACGGCGGAGAGGAGGCGGUCGAGAGAGAGGAGUGGGGAUGUAGAAGGAGAGGGCGUGGCUGAGAGGAGGUGGGGGAGUAUGCGGUUCCGGAGGUGGAGCAUGACGCCGCGACGGCGGGGCAGCGGCGGCGGUGGGGAAUUCCGGUGGCAAGUGCGCCGGUGGUGGACGGGGAUUCUCAAAUGAAGUGAGCCAAAGGUUGCCCUGAACCCCUGAACAGGCAGCGGUCCACCAGAACCCAAAUAGUACAUAACUUGAUAUACGUAUUAUUCAUAACAAAAUCCCGUUUUUCUUGCCUAAAAACCAAGGGGGAAGUUUCAUUUGUUAUAUAGGAGUAUUAUUAGAAGAGAGUUCUCCGGUUAAUAAGGAAACCCGACGGGAACUACUGUCCGGGCGCAAUAGCAAGGUUAGUCUGAAGUCGGACGCACGUCAUAACAAGUGACAAAUGUUGACACCAGCACAACCUUAUCGCCAUUGCCCCUCGAUGAUGGCGAAUCAACGUUAUAUUUGUGGGGUCAGCUGGCCCACAACUAUUGUUUUGCUAAUCCAUCACAUAUACACAUGUGAUGUAUCUAUAUAAAAAUAAAAUCAAAAAUCAUGUAAAAUCUAUGACAAUCACCUCUUUGAUGCCACAGAUUUAUCGCCGUGGCGCCUCCACCGCCCUCAAUGACACUUUAUUAUAUCUAUAGCCAACAAUGCAAAGAAACCAUAGAAGUGGCACCAAACCGCCGAUGAAAUGUGACAUAAAACGAAAAGGAAGCUCCGAGUUUAGUAGUAGAACAAGAACCAUCACUCAACACAAUCAUUGUUGACAUACAAGCACGAGGAGGAGAUCCGGAUGCUUCGCCCCAGCAAACCUACACGAUGCAUCUGCAUUGACCUAUGUAUGGCAUAGUCGAGGGGCCCACGGGGCACGCCAAUGUAGAUGCGCAGCCACAAGGAUUGCCCUUUACAUUUCUCAUCUGACGGAUUAAAUGUUUGCUUGGAAUUUGUAAAAUGGUACAUUAUAUAUAUUUGAAAUAGGGGAAACAGGCAUAGUGGUACAAAAAAGAACAUAUUAAUUUGCACAGUAGAUCUUUUCAGCUAGAAGGUUUCCUCAUACAAAGCCCCAUAUAUGUCGUCCAUCAUCGAAUUCAAAUACAAACAUGAAUGCAAAAAGAAACACGUUAUCUGCAUACUCUAAACUUCAAAUACAACUUUGAAUUUUUUUUAUGCUAGAAGUGCAAAUUCUUUUCUCCCCUUUUAGAGACACCAAUAACCAGAUGAUGUUCACCCACGUUAUCUGUCGCGCUCGCUCUCUAUCCACCCAUCGUUGCUCAAGAGCAUGGCCACCCCCUUGAGCCUCACGUACAACACAACGAAAAAUACGGCGGCCCUAAGCAAGGUGAAACUCUCCAUUCAUGAACGUUUUCCUCAGGUUCUAAGCCCUUGGUUUCGACUCCGAAUUUGCGUGGACUCGAUGCUAUGUCUGAGAUUAUCGCGGUAUGCACUUGAGGACAGUGCUGAGGAGGUAGAGAGGCAAACAUGGAUCCAUUUUGUACACGAUAAACUUCCUCAGUUUUUUCUUUAAUUCUCUGUGCACCUUCACCAUGGUGCUAGUUUUUAAUCUGAUAUGCACUGUUCUAUUCCGUUGGUCCCUCUGCAGUCACCUCAAAUUUAGGCUACCUUCCGUCUUAUAGGAAACCGAUGGAGUCGAGCUAUCUGUACGGCCACUCCAUUUGCGGCGGAUGAGGUGCUUACACAUGCCUCCCAUUCACAACAGAUUGCACUGCUUUAAGCCAUUGUAAUUUUCAUCUCUCUCUCUCUCCCUCUGACCAUGUUCAUGUUUGUUUGGCUGCUAUCACAAUCCUGCCAACAUACUAGGUAAGGGGAUAGAUGACCAAGGCUACAUACAUACAUAUUUGCUAAGGCGUGUCAUGCUUACAUGAGGGAAGGUUGGUGAGCUUAUUAGUUGGUGUAGAAGACUAUAGGAUGCAACUCAUUGUAUUCAUCGGAGUCUGUUACAAUAUAUACAGGUGAUGUCUUGCUUGACAAGCCAACUAACCGUACAAUAUCUCUAGUAAUUAAUCUAUACAAGGCUAGAGAUCAUUGGAAGAGCAAUCAGACAUAAGUACAAAUAUGUCACGUUCAACACCCCCGCAGUCGAAGCGCCGGCAUCGGCGAUGCAAAGAUUGGAGUGAAACUCCUGAACUGCAGCGGUUGGCAACCCCUUGGUCAUAAUGUUGGCGAACUGUUGGGUAGUCGGUACGUGAAGGACAUGGAGCUGAUCCAAUUGAACUUUCUCGCGCACAAAGUGAACAUCCAGUUCAAUGUGUUUGGUGCGCUUGUAUUGCACCUGAUUGGCCGCAAGAUAGGUGGCCAAACACAUUAUCACAAAAGAUCAUUGUAGGCUUCGGAAGUAAAACCAGAAGUUCACCAAGCAGGUGACACAACCAACAAGUCUCGGCAACGACGUUGGCAACAACACAAUACUCAACCUCGACACUCGGGCGGGAGACGGUAGGUUGCCGCUUAGAGGACCACGAGACAAGGGAGUCAUAGAAGAAGACACAGUUUCCAAACAUGGAUCACCGGGUGUCAGGACAACCAACCCAAUUCGCAUCCGUGUAAGCAAGAAGCUCGGUGGAGGCGAAGGCGCGGAGACAAAGAGCAUAGGUCGGCCUGCCGAGAAUGUACCAUAGAAUGCGCUUGACCAGAGACUAGUGAGCAUCACACGGCGAGUGCAUGUGCACGCAAACUAGCUGCAUCGCAAACUGAAUGUCUGGUCUGGUGAGCGUGAAGUACUGAAGUGCAUCAACAAUAUUGCGGUAGAGAGCGGCGUCGGUGGCAGGCUGUCUAGCUGUGGCAGAGAGCUUCGGCUUGACCUCAGGAGGCGUGGUGGCCGGCUUGCAGCCGGUCAUGCUAGCACGGUCCAACAGGUCAAGAGCAUAUUGCCCUUGAUGGGGGAAGAACCCAGAGGCAUCGCAUCGCACAUUAUGCCGACGAAGAAAUCCUAAAUUUUAAGAAAUAUUUAUACAAUGUAAAACAUCCGUUUGCUUAAUUCAACAAUUCAUGAACGUGAAUUUUUAAAAAGUUCAUGAUUUCAAAAGCAAUUCAUGAAUUUGAGAAAUGUUAACAAAUUCAAGAAAAAGUUCAUAAUUUCUUAUACAAAGUUCAUUGGGUUUGAAUAAGGUCAAAUUUUGAAAAAAGUUGCGAUUUUUUGGGGAAAAAGUGUUAUAAACAUCAUAUAGGUAAGAAAGUUCAAGAAUUCGUAAAAAGAUCAAAAUUUGGAAAAAGGUCACGAUUUUGAUAAAACAUUCAGGAAUUUGAGAAAAGUUGAUGGAUUAAAAAAAUUUCUUGAAUUCAAAAAAUGUUCUUGAAGUUGGUAAAAUUUCUCCAAUUUAGAAAGAAAAGAAAAGAAGGAAACUGAAAAAUUUGGUAAUAAAUAAACCCGAAAACCAGCCCAGAAACCAAAAGAUUCCCAAAACCGAUAGUGGGAUCAUGUUACGGGCUGGCCCAUUUAGCUACCAAUGGAACAUAAGUGGGCGCCAAUUAGGAGAAUACACUAUAACUAGCGCAGUGGGAGCCAAUUAGUGAAAUCACUAGUUAAAGAGUAUCCCUUGCAAAGGUCACUCCCAUCUUUUCGGGUUGCGAGAAGUGGCGUAAUGUAGGUGCGCCAUUUGUCACAAACCGUGUGUUUCCUUUUUUUAGAUUCGCUUAUCCAAAAUGUUUUAUCUCUUAAACCGUGCGUCUAAAUCCUGAACCGUUUUUGUCGUUGGAUUUCUGGUGUCCAGAUCUUCGAAACUAGAUCAUAUGUUAAUAGGUUUUGAUGAACUUUUUUUUCACAAAAAACCCCGGAAAAUUGGAAAAAUAAGCUCGAGCCGGAAGAAUGGUUCCCCCCCACUUUUUUCCCCUUUUCGAAGAGGCACAACUGUGCCUCUAGCGGAAACACACCUGUGCCCUCACAGUAGAAAAGAGAAAACAAAACACGACCUUUUCUUUUUUGAGUCUCCCGCGAGAAUAAAACCUCUGCCUCCACGACAAGCAAAUCUAUGCCUCUCGCGGAAGCACAAAAAAAGAAAACACAAUUUUUUUUCUUUUCUGACAGGCACUCGCGGAAGCAAAUUCUGUGCCUCCACGAGAAGCAAAUACGUGCCCCCCUUGGAAGAAACAAAAAAAAAAUACAUGUUCCCUCUUUUUUGAGAGGAAAACCUAUGCCUCUUGCCGAAAUAAAUCUGUGCAUCCACGAGAAACAAAUAUGUGUCUCUCACGAAAAACAUGUUUUUUAGUGCAAUGCAAUUUCUAGAUCGCCAAGAUGUGCCUAGGGAACUAGGCUGGACAUUUCCAAACCAGCUCGAACCAACAGAGUCUACGCCGCCUAACCCUAAAAAACAGAGUUUAGGCCCUGGCCUGAACAACACGAUUUAGGCCUAGUCGACACUCACCCGACCACCACAAAAGUCAAGCGGGUCUCUUCCCUUCCUCAACCUGUCGCAGUAUCUCUUGGCCCUCUCCUCUCGCUCUCCCAACCCCCUCCUAGCUAGGGUUUUACUUUUCCCUCCGCCAAGGUUUUACCCAUGAGCGACCCACCAUGAUGGUCGCCGAGCUGUAGGCGGAGCUGCUCUGUGCCUAGCUUGAGGAGCACAAGAUCAAGGUGAUCCUCCAUUCCACCCCUAGUCGCCAUCAUUUCCCAUCUCAUCUUCAUAGCCACCACCACCAUCACCGUAUCCAUCCAUCUCCAAGUUAGUCAUACUUGUAACCGACAUAUCGCAACCGACAACUAUUGUAAAGACAUAUUAUCUAUCAAUCAUUCAUCUUUAUGUCAUCUUCAAUAACUUCAUCUUGCGAUCCGAUCACCAUGUGUGAGGAAUUCAGUAAGGCAAUGGGUUUAGGCACGGCCUUGUAACCCGAUGUAUUUGUGCCAAGGAUCGUGGGAAUGACUUCAUAUGAUUGACGUUAUUUGUAUGUGUCCGAUUGCUAUGGAACUGUCUCUUGUCUUGUUCUCAUUCUAAGGCCCCACAGGUACCCAAGACCCUGUAGAUUGAUCAAGGAGAAGGUAAAGAGCGAGGAGUGCGUGGAACACUAUCCUGAAUAGAAGUGAGAAAAGGGGUUAGUACGAUAGAGGAAAUCUAUUCCUUGGGGAUGAAUGAGGUGUAGCCAUUAAACUCCCAAUGCUUUUAUCUGAAUGUUUAUUCCUAAUGCAGCAAUAAGGGCCAUCGGUUGGACAAUUGACUCUUGAUGCAUGUCGUGCACUAGUCAAGACAUACUUUGGACACACCCCCGCAUCUUAAUUAUAUUAAACCAUGCUCUGGAAGAAAACAUCUAGUGUGCUUCCAACGUGAAGUCUGAAUAUUUAUUCCUAAUGCAGCAAUAAGGGCCAUCGGUUGGAUAACUGACUCUUGAUGCAUGCGCGCACCGGUCAAGACAUACUUUGGACACCCCCCCGCAUCUUCACGUCGGAAGCACACUAGAUGUUUUCUUCCAGAGCAUGGUUUAAUAUCAUUAAGAUCCCAAGCACAAAUAUAGGUUGUGAGAGUAAGACCUCAUACCCAUGCCAUUUUUAAUACUAGUGUUUACAUCUAAAAGGUUUUUAGAGGUCUGAUUGAUAAACUGGAAUUUAAUUUGUUAGAAAUAACUUAUCAGAGUCUUUGACAUAGUGCACACCAUCUCGUGGGUUCGAUAACCCAGGGUCACUCCUUAGGGAAAAAGUAUGGGAACCUUAUGGAAUCCAUACUGGAUCUCAAAGGGCAUCAUGCAGUGCAGGGAGGCGCACGCUUCCUACAUGCGGAGACUACACGAGUGACUCUGUCAGACUUUGCUUUUUCGCUUCUGGCCCACUCACAUAUUUUUUCUUGAUGCCCGUUUGUCUUGCCUCCAGUGGCUCGGCGAGCUAGGCACUGUGACCCCCUCGUGACCAGUGAUGCGGAGGCCUUCGGUGAUGUAUAAUCCCCAAGUCCCCGGUCUCUCCCUUGGCCCUUUCGCUUGUGUAAUAUAAAAUCUAGGUCCUACCCUAGGUCCUCGUGAGGUAAGUGGGUUAUAGUUGAGCCAGUUGAGGAGGAAAAGAGGCAAAAUUGAUCUAGUUUUUACACCGUGAAAUUCCUCUUCGUACACCUUUUUAAGUUACUGUGUAGUUUCGCGAGAUAUGUACUGAUAUCUUAUCUCCUCAACGAGUACAUUACUAUUGUCCCUAACUCCCCUCCUCGCAAAUACGAGAAUAUUGUAUCCUUCUAUGCCCAUAUGUUUUUAUAGAGAUGGUGUGUUUCCAGAUGCACCCCAUUCAUAUUUCAUAGUGGAUUGCAUUGAUCCAACACAUCUUUAUUGCCACUCCACUAUCUCUCCCGGGAGCCUCGACCUUGUUUGUGUUUCUUUGGGUACUUGUACUAACCUGAUAAAAUAAUUGGAGGCUACAAGGAGAAAACAGAGAGUAGUGCAUCCUUUAUAAGGUCCAAUCAUGCUUACACUUAUGUAUGUUGGUAAGUGCAUUAGCUACCCAUCCAUUAUGAUUAGGACCAAGCCCUAGAGUAUGCUUGUAUCUGAACCUUUAUUUCUCUUUCUCAAAGAGGUUUGGCUACACAUGUGUGCUCUGUUUCAUUGUCCCCGCUCACCCUAGCCUCUACACUCAAUACUCAUUUACCAAGCUUUUGUGAGAUGGUGAAUUGGGAGCCAAUACUAAAAUACAAAACCACGUGGAAUGUUAUAUGAGUAAAAUACUGGAAUAUUCAGCGACAGCACCUCCCACUCCUUAGAGUCGCAGAUGGCAUCCAAGAUUCCAAAUGACAUGUCACCCUUAUUUCCAUUGAUAUAAUAGCCUAGUUCUUUGCACCCUAUGUUCUCACUUUUCAAACCCUGCUAGGUUGUAAAACUUAUCCCUAAACUAAAAUUAAUAUACUAGCUAGAACAAUAGAAAAUCUGAAAGAAAAAAGAAGUUCACGAGAAGAGACGACUGGGGACAAAGCCCUUGCCCUUGCCUAGCCCUCGCCACAUAACCCCCUCCAUAGGCCACCUUGGCCUAUGGCGACCACCAUCCUCGCCGCCUGCUAUUCCGACACCGAUAACCACAGCCUCCUGGGGCAGCCACUCCACUUCUCCUCACCCACCACGUAGCCAUGCCCCCCUUGGGUCGCAAAUUCAAUAUUGCCCAGUCUUUUGUGGACCGCAUCUAGCGCAAUAUCCAUCUCUCAAUCAACUAAUAUGAUGUAGAAGGACUCAUAUAAUUCUUCUGCAUCACAGAGUUUGGAAGAUAUAAUAUCAGACUCACCAAGGAAUCGAUUGGCGCAAUUCUCCCUGCAUUCUUUGGAGGUUAUUUUCCUUUGUUCAAUGUUUAACAACUACAAAAUUGGGCUUCUAAAUUCUUAGUUUCUUCAAAGGAAGUUGGUUUCACCAUAUACAACAAAGAUAGUAUUCACGAUCCCUGGAUUCAGCCUCGGAUUUUGGGUUUCGAGAAAUGAAGGUCCUAGUUGAAUUUGCGAAUAUACUUGACAUAUCCAAGAGCAAGAUCAAGAAUGGACUCUGGUUAGUCCUUUUCCCGCAAAAAAACCAUAUGGUGAACCUAUUAGAUCUCCUCGAUCAUAUCCGUCGGAUCAGAAUAUUAGAUCUCCUUCAUCCCCGGAUCAUGAUCCACCUAGAUUGCAAUCCAGAUUUGUCUUUGGUCGAAUUUCCUAUCCGAAUUGCAAUAAGAAAACUUUGGAACUGGCCAACCAGUGUUACAAUCCUUCAAAACAAACCACAUCAGUGUGAUGAUGUCUUUAUCAUCUUUGAGAAGCAUAGUAGAUCGGCUUGAACUUGAUAAAUUUAACUCUUAACAGGGAAUCUUGGCUGGUAGUAGGCUAGUAGUUGAUUUACCUUUUGAUAAAAAAGCCAUAGCCAAACUGGCUCAUUCUUUGUUUGACUUUUGGAAUCUCCUUCUCUAGGACAGAGCCAAAAGUACUAGGGUUUCACUGGUUAAAAUCAUAGCAAAGUUAUCUGAUAUUCUCGCCAUUCUAGUUAUUAGAGAGAGGUAUGGUUUUUAGUGACUCAUGGACCUGCCCUUUAGUCAUCAUGCAAGAAGAAAUGAUGGGUGGUGGUCCACCAGAUGAAGAUCCCAUCCCAAUUGAUGGAAAUCCUCGUCCAAGACUAGGUCAGGCUCAUUUUCAUAUCAAUCAAGAGAAUCAUAUGAUUGAAAUGCUACCUUUGGCUCAAGUUAAUGCACCUCAACAACAAGGAAUUGAUAAUGUCAAUGUAGCACACCAGAUCCAGCCAAUUUCAAAUAUACAAAAAGUGGAAGAGGCGAUGGAGAAACAGAGGAGGAUGAGCUGGGGACAUUGGGCUAUGCCUCCGAAUUAAAAUAUUAACCAAGAGCUACAUAAUAGUGAGUUCCUAUAGAUGAAUGAUCUUUUUGUACCAUUAGACAUCAACAUUGAUUAAUAGCCUGACCUGGAGGUACAAAGCAGUAUGACACUAUCUCUGGCUCUGACUGAAGCUAGCAAUGGAUUUAUUAAUUCCAUUGCUAGAGGUGGCCCACAAGAAACUAACACUUUUUCUGAGAGCUCCCAGAUCUUAACUUGGUCCUUCCUCCUCCUGAACAAUGCUUCCAAAUGGUUCACCUGCAACAUGAGAUUGAUACAAAAGAGAUACAUCAUGAAAAUUGCACAUGCCUCAACAACUGUUUCAACUAAUUGAAUCUCUCCAACAACUACUGGAAGAAUACUAGCUGAAUACUCAACAUGCCGUAGCACAUGGACUGGAUCUUAAUUCCCCUCCAUAACCAUCAUUUCAGCCAACUCUAACUCCUCUAGAUAGUGAGUCCCACUCUCAACAACCUGAACUUAAUGGAACUAAAGUGCCAACUUUUCCGUUUCAGCCAAUUAAACAAGUACACGCUAGUCCAACAGGGCCCUACAACUUGGAUUGAACAUUUAAAUUUGAAUAAUGCAAUUGAGGUGUCCCAGGAAGUCCAAGAAGCACAUAUGCUUGAUACUAUUUUUUUGCAAAAAUUCAGAACUGUACCACAAUUAGCACUUAACACAGCCAGACUGAUUUAGAUCUUAUUUUCAUGAAGAUAUUAGUCUCCUGGCCAUGGCGGAGGUCUUGAUGGGGAAAGUACAUGAUUCUUUUUUGGGAAAUAUCACUUUUCUCCCUCUUCUCCAUUUGAUAAGGUAAUUAAAGCACCAUUUGAAUGAGUAAACUUUCUCUUAGUUUGCCUCCUAUGAUCAUAAAGGCUUGACUAGGCGAAAAAUUCAUGGACAAUAAAAUAUGGGAAAUGAUAGUUGGAAUCAAGAAUACAACCUCUUCAAUGAUUUUGUUAAACUCAGUUCAUGGUCCUUUACAAUGAAGCCAUACUAUGAGUUUUAGUGUUUGUGUAAGGAGCAUAAUAAAGUUGAUAUACAACCCUUCUAUAACCCAUGGGGGAAGAAAACAAUGCUUGAAGGUCUCAUAACUGAGCAUGCUUCCUCCACCAGUACCAUUCAUGUUUACUGUAAAAGAAGGAACAAUCCCUAUCCCCCCCAAUUAAUACCGAGUUAAUAAGAAGUUCAAGAAUCCAAUCUCAAAAUAAAGGCUUCAGACAUAAGAGUUGUGUGGAUAGAAACUGCCUGCCUUGCUUAGUUGACCCCCUCCCCUACCAUGUAAUGUAGUUGAAAAGUUAACACUUGCUUUUGCAAGAUGCCCCCAAGGACACAACUGAAGAACAUGAAUCACAGGAAGCAAAUGAAGGUGUAAGAAUGAUGGGGGCUAGGACAAAAAGGGGGAGAACUGAAGACUACAUGAGGACUCAAGUUCUUGGGUUCAUAGUUGCGAUAAAAACUUAGUUUGUGUCUGUUCAUUUGUAUUAUCAUGGUUGUACUAACUCAAGACUCUUUAGUUCCUAUAUGAUUAUGUGAUUGAUUAUUCAGCCAUGCUAGUUAUCAAUAUGUGGACUAUAUCAAAUGUUUUACUCGAUAAUUUAUGGCAAAAUUUUAAGCUGGGCAAUGCAUGGGAAUUUUCUUGGACAACACUAUCUACUACAUGGUUGUUUAUGAGAAUGUAUGGAUUUCACUCGGUAUCAUGAAUACAAAAUGGAAAAUAUUAAUCUUCAAUAUUAGGGGAAUUAACUAUGACAACAGGUGGACUGCUAUAUCAAAUAAAAUUGAGGAAACGAUGCAUAAUUUUGUGUAUCAGGAAAUAAAGAGAAAACAUUUACCAAAGAUAAUUGAAAAUGCCCGCGGAGAUCGGAAAAUCUUGCCUUUAGUAGUGGCCUUAGGGGGUUGGUAAUUGGAUGGAAUGAUAGUAUUUUCAAGGGAGAAGAUUCUUCAAAAUGAUUUCUUUUUUAUCUAUUUCGUUCACUUCCAUUAACUUAGCAGAGCCUUCGAUCUUAAUAAAUGCUUAUGGACCCUUCCAAUCGAAAGAAAGAUAAGCAUUUAUGGAACCGUUCCAAAACAUUUAAUAGUUGGAUGAAAAAAGACUGGAUCAUUGCAACAUAAUUCAAGUUCAUCAGAUACCCUGAUAAUAAAAACAGAAAAGGGUAACAUUCAAGGCAUGAUGCACUUCAAUGCUACCAUUAAUCACCUAAGCAUUGUCGAAAUCCCUUCAGUGGGAACAAGCUAUAAUUGGAGCAAUAUGAAAGACAUACCUAUGUUUGAGCGUUUGGACUUGUGCUUUCUUCAUAAGCUUAGACUAUUGCUUACCCUAAUACCUGGGCUAUCACAUUGGCCAAAACCACCACUGAUCAUACUCCUAGUGUCAUCUAGAUAGUCACAUUCGUACCUAAUUUAAUGCUAUUCAGAUUUGAAAACUACUGGCUUCAACAUCUAGUAGACUGUCAAGAAUAUAUGGGAUCAACCUUCUAAUGAAGGGGACAAUGUCAAAAUUAUUAUGAUAAAAUUCAAAAGAUCGAGAAAAAGUAUCAAUUUGUGGGCCAAGACACUCUAAUAUCUUUGGAGCAAUUCGAAAUACUAUUAGCGUGAUCUUUUACUAUGACACCACUUAAGAAUAUAGGCCCGCCAGUACGGUGGGAGACAACAACAAAACUAUAUUAAAAGAGAACAUAUUUAAACUCUUGGGUCACUAGAGGAUCGAUUGGAAAGAAGUAGCUACUAUAAAGAUGGGUCUAGCUUGGGGAAGAAAAUAACAAAUUCUUCAAUGCAAAAACAACCAUCAAAUACAUACAUAAUCUCAUAUCAACUCUGAAAGAUGAGCAAUUGGUGAGGAGCACACUGAUCAUGAAGAAACGAUAGUUAUCCCAUGAAGAGCAUUUAAGAAGAGAUUAGUAACACAAGUAUAUUGCACUCUACCCAUUGCAUGAAAACCAUGCCGGAGAGUUAGGUUGAUCUCAUAAAUUUGGAGGUUCCCUUUACAACUGAAGAAACAGACAAGGUUAUUAAAGAGCUCCCCACCGACAAGGCACCAUGUCCAGAUGGGCUCAAUGAGGCAUCUACUAAAUCUUGCUACCACAUUAUUAAUUAAAUCAGUUUUGAUGAGGUUAAUUACAGAUAUACAUCAUGGCAGAGUCAAUCUUCAAAGCAUCAAUGCUUUCUUCAUAUGCAAGUGCCAUGUGUUAGUUGUAUCAGGAUAUAUUUAGUUGUAUCUCUGUCUCUAUGCGAGAUAUUUUCCCCACUUUAUUUUAAUACAAGCAUGGUUUGUUUGCAAAAGGGGAGGUAUCCUUUAGUGAAAAAAAUGUUUUUUUAGGGGAGGAGUUUUUUUUUGUGAAACUAGUUUUUUCUAAGCUUAUAAGUAAGCUUUAUUGAUCAUUGUCCACAUGAAGUGGUACACGAAAAUGAUCAAUGGGAUGGAUCAACCAAAGAUGAUGCCCCUGAUCAAGAGUGUUUGAAAACUUAUCUAACCUAUCCGCAUCAGUGUUUGAUGUGCGAUCUUCAUAAGUAAACUUGCAAUUAACUAAACUAGCUUGCUGCUUUAUCUCGCCAAUGAUACAACCAUAAGUACUAAUAGUUCCCCUCUCAAUGUCGUUCACGACCUGCUUUGAGUCGGAGACGAUUAUAUAAUUCUGAAUCAUCAAGUCUUCUGCAAGAGCCAAUGCUUCUCUACAUACCAUCACCUCGAGUGUAGCUACAUCAAUGACCCCCCCAGACAACGAUAAAGGAGCUGCCCAAAUACCGUCCACAGUCAUCUUGGCACACUGCAGAUGUUGUUCGUCUGAUCUCGUACUUUGCCACACUUGCAAAAACAUGGAUUUUUGCAAAACCUCGAGGUGGCUCCCUAGGCCUUGCCACUAUUCUUAUAAUCUUAGCUGGUGCCCUUAUUUCCUAUUGUGUUGUCAUCUCCAGUUCUACUAUAAAUCUUUUAAUGAACUCAUAUGUAGCCUAGGGGCUUCGAUAAACCUCUUCGUGUAUCCAUAAGGUGACUGAUAACUUAACAAAUGAAUCAUGUGAUAAAGAAUCAAUCAUGGCAAACAGCUACUGCUUGGCACUCGGUUCAAUUGUCUCGCAUAUAUAACUGCUCCGCCAAAUCACCAUCAACAAGUGAACAAACACACCUCACCAUAUUGCACCCGGGAAACGAGUGUCUCCAGGAGUUAGCCACGCCACAAAGAGCACAGGUGCUAGUAGUGGACAUUUUCCUAUGAGCUUGUACGUCUUCGGUUGGCAAUGAGUGACUCGCUAGUAUCCAAAGGAACAUACAUAUUUUUCCUGGUACGGGUGUUUCCAUAAUAGCUUCCACGAGGCCACAUCUCUAUCAGUACUAGAGGAACCAUCGAUCCAAGCUUCCCGCCCGUACUUUGUAGUGAUCAUCAUCUUGUACGCUGAUCUCACAGUGUAGUAGCCAGUGCCACACCGAGCUAUCUUGUACCUCACUUGUAUAGAUUGGGAUAUUAAGAAUAGAUGGGAUAUCAAUUGGUAAACACACCUCUGAUAGUCGCUCAGUGUCCCAUCUUGUGGCUGUAUGGUCAAUAAGAUCCGUGGCAAGCAAAGGUGGAUUGGUUACCCGACAUUCAUAUCGGCCCAACAUGACGUCCCUUGGAAUCCAAUUGUCUUACCAUAUAUGAGUUGAAGCUCCGUUGCCAAUUCUCCGAAUCAAUCCCCGCUUGAGUACGUCACGCCCUUCUACUACUGUCCUCCAAAUCUGGCUUGAAUGAUUACCCAAUUCUGCAUUCAAAAUCGAGCACGAAGGGAAAUGUACUGCCUUCAAAAUUCUUGCACCGAGUGAUUUUGGGUUUUGUAGAAUGCGCCAUGUUGUUUUUUUAGUAUACCACGUGUCAUUUAUUCAUGAGCAGAAUUACAAACCCACACGUAGCCACAAUCAAGAGACAUCCAGAACACACACAGUACAACACUUUGCAAGAAGAAACCUAUGAAAAAAUUGCAAAGAAACGCUUGGGGAUCCUAGAAGCAAAACAACCUGAUGUCGCCGCCAUAUGCCUUCGUCGCAAAAGCUUCGUCGGACAGAGGGGAGACACCAACUUGCCCAAGAUAGAAUUAGUGCCAUAAAAGACAAAGCUGCGUUGUGAGUCGAUGAAGCAAGCCGCCGUGCGGCCUGAGACCUUGUGGCUCGUCGAUCGGGAUCAUCCCCACACUCUUCUAUCCACGGCUUCGCUACACUCAUCCAACAAUAUUGGAGAGAAGAUCCGAAGCCGCUAUCCUACAGCCCCCUUUCUUGUGCCGAACCGGCCGUCUUCCAGAUCAGAUCGCCGUCGUCAUUCCCGAAAGAGAUAACACCAGCGACCCCGCUGCAUGGAAUGAGGCCUCCAAUCCCCACCACGGCGCGGGAGCAAGCACCAUCACAGCGACGGGAUCGAAGCACAUAGGGCCUCCACCGAGUUGCUGCCGCCACUGCACCAACCAGGCUUAACCACCUGCCCAACCAGAUCCAUUUCCGAUGACAAAGAGGAGCACCUCGAAGAGGAAUUUUUGUAAAUACCCUUGUGAAUCCAGAGGAAAUUUAUUCACCGCCGUCACAGCCACCACCGGAAAUUUAUUCACCGGCCCAAAUUGCACGGUCUAGGCCCAGUUUAAACCCACCAGAGGACACAAGUUAUUAGCCCCCAAAAAGAAAAACCAGAGGACACGAGUCAAGCUCAAGCGGGUCUCUUCCCUUCUUGGCCCUCUCCUCUCCCGCUCCCAACCACCUCCUAGCUAGACUAGGGUUUUACUUUCCCCUCCGACAAGCUUUUUCCGGCGCACCACCAUGACGGUCGCCGAGCUGCAGGCGGAGCUGCUCUGCGCCCAGCUCGAGGAGCAGAGCAUCGAGGUGAUCCCCCAUUCCGACCCCUCCCCCUCUCCGAUUUGGUGCCCUGUUUAACUGAAAAAUCAUCUCCUCGCAUUUCAAAGAUAGUAAUAAUAAAUCUUCGCCUCUCUUGCUCGUUCGCCCCUGGAUCGGCGUGUUCCGUUGCGGUCCUGGUGUUAUAUGCUGUUGGUUGUUGCAUUUUCUUAACUUGUCCACACAAUUCCAGGUUAUGUUUGUCCUCUCCAAGCCAGAUGUCUUCAAGAGCUCAAACUCAGAUACCUACGUCAUGUUCGGGGAGCCCAAGAUUGAGGACCUGAGCACUCAGCUGCGUUCACAAGCGGCGGAGCAGUUCAAGGCGCCGAGCCCAAGCGGCAUCAUCUUGAAGGGCGAGCCGUCCAUGGCAGCAGCCCAUGACGACGAGGAGGUUGAUGAGACUGGUGUUGACAAGAAGGACGUUGAGCUCGUGAUGACGCAGGCCUCCGUGCCGAGAUCCAGGGCUGUGAAGGCGCUCAAGGAUGCGGGCGGCGACAUCGUCAGCGCCAUCAUGGAGUUGACUAACUAGGUAGGUGCCCGUAGGUGGAAUUGUGUCCUGAUAAUAGGGUCUUGGAUAGCAAAGCAGUCUUUUGGUAUGCCAUCUUGAAUGUUGCAGUUGCGGGAUUGGAUGUUCUGUCUCUCUGUUGAAACUAGCACUGGGAUGUAGGUUUCGUUGGUGUUUUAAACAUCUGAUGAUCACAAACUGCUUGCUCUUUAUGGGAAAUAUCUGAUUCGACUGUGCCAAAUUUUGCUACAACUGCAUG